Molecule: long non-coding RNA, 88935 nt
Filed under: Arabidopsis lyrata
Lineage: Eukaryota; Viridiplantae; Streptophyta; Magnoliopsida; Brassicales; Brassicaceae
Description: long non-coding RNA (ALYR_LNC001951)
Rfam family: MIR854 microRNA precursor family (bases 87184-87404)
Source: RNAcentral
UUUUCUCUUUUUGGUUCUACUGUUUUUCUGCGAUGUGGUGAAAAUCUUGCCUUGCUUCGUCUGGAUUUGGGUGGUGGUUAUGGGUUGUCUUUGGCCGGAGUUGGAGGACGAAGUUGGCUUCCUGCAAACCAUCUUCGCCUGCGACUUUCUUCUUCCUCCCCGGAUCGUUUCAGGCUCGCUGGGUGGGUCUCUCCGACCUUGAUGUGGAGUUGAAUGUUCUCCGAUUGGUUUUUGUGGUUCUCCGAUCUGUGAUUUUCGUCUCUGUUCUUGUCUGAUUGGGAUUCGAUUUUGGUUUGUCGAGUUUUCCGGCUGCGUCCUUUGGAUCUGCGGCAACGGCCUUCGUCGACAUCUAUCUCACAGGUCGUCCCUCAAUUUACCUUCGGUUAAUUGCUUUGUUGUUGGAGUAUAUUUGGUUGAGAGUAGAAGCCUUAGUUUCAAGUUUAGGGCUGGCAAUAUUGACUUCUAGUUCUGCCUCCUGUUACUUUCUGCCCGGUUAUUGGUGUUUUGAGUUUGUGAAGGUUUCGUUUUGUGGGUUCUUCAUUCGGAUGGUAGUCUCCUGCAAAGGCAUCUACUAGCUCUCUUCCUAAUCUUUUUUAGAUUUAAGAUUUGAGUUCAAGACGAUGUGGUAGGCUCGGUCUUCAUUCCUUCUCUUGCGUGGCGUAACCAGUUCUUAGGCUGUAGAUGGUUUUGGCUGGGUCUACGAAUGUCCGCGUGUAAGGUUUGUUGGUCCUCUUUGGCGUUUUCCCCUUCGGAUCUCAAGGCUUCUCCUUGUCCUUUCACCUGCUUGUAUUCUCUGGUUUUUGGUGUGGUAGUGAUGGUUAGGAUCUGUGCUCUGAUCUUCUUAUUUGUCUGUGUUCGUUUCUGCUGGGUUUGUGGUUGUGUGAGCUUGGUUUAGUAUCCUUCUCGGGCCUUUCAUAUAAAGGCAAUCUAAUGAUGGGUCCUCUUGUUGCUCUUGUUGGUAACCACUUUCCAGCGCCCAAAAUAUUCUAUGGAAAUGUUCGUCGGAUGCUUUUAGUGAAGAGUUUGCAGUUGUGUUGCUUGAGUCUUAGGUAUUAGUCAUUCCCUGUACUUUAAGGUUUUUCUUCUUUAAUGUCUGCCUUUUUUGGCCUUUGUCUCUGGGGGUUUCUAUGUACCCGCCGGCUUUGUUUUCCGGAAGGAUUUAUUUCCUUGCCGCUAUGUAUUAUUUCCAAGUAUCUUAUCAAUGAAUUAUUCAGACGAAAAAAAAAAAAAAAAGAUUACCCCAUCGCGUCGAAUUCGAGACGUGACUAACAAAAACUUGUUAUGAAGAUAGUGGACUAAAGAAAAUACUUUCUUUCUUCAAAUGAAAUGAAACUUAUUAUUAUGGGUUAAGAAAAUAGUCUUUAAGAAACACAGAGAAACAUAAGUUCAAAACGUCCCGAGUUCGACGCAAUGGAGUACCUCUUGAAGACGUCGUUUCGAUUUAACAGAGACUUUUAAGGGAAAGUUAACCCCGUUAACGGAAACUUAACGACAUACCUAAAAUGGCUAAGUCAACGAAACUUGACUAUUUUAUCAAAAAGUCAAACUAAACUUUGUGAUUUAAAUGACAUUUUGAAAGUUCAUGUGUUUUUCGUCCCAAAUUUGAAAGUUGGCGUUUUUUUUUACAUUUUCCCCACUGAUUAUAUAUGAGGCCAAUGAUUUACAAAAAAAUAUUUCUCCCAUGUUAUAUAUUCAUGAGUGGAGAUAAAAUAUUUCUCAUUUGUAAUUACAUGGUUGUGUGAUAUAUGUUAUUAAUGCUUCGCCGUACUGCAUAAAAAUAAUAUCCGAAAAAGAUGAAAUAUAUAAAUGCUAGAGAUUAGGGCUGGACAUAAAACCCGAAAACCGAAAACCGAACCAAAAAAUCUGAUUCCAAAACCGAACCGAAUAAUCACAAAACCUGAACAGAUAAUGAAUUCUCCAUUCCGAAUUACCUGAACCUCGAACCCGAUUCGAACCGAAAACCGAAAAGAUAUCCAAAAACUCAAAAUAAAAUUAUAUAUCCAAAAAUAUUAGUUCUAUUUAGUUAGAAUUUUAUACCCAAAAAUACCAAAUAACCAAAAUAACCAAAAUAACCUUAGAUAUUCAAAAAAAUAUUUAUUUAUAUUUGUUAAAAUUAUACAUUUUUUGCAAAUUUUAGUAAGAUUAAACAAAUUUAUAUUAAAAUUGAACACAUUGUGAUGAAAAAACUCAUCAUUUAGGUUAUCUAAGGUUAUGAUGUGCUGAAGAUGAGUCUGUGCUAUAAUAUUAUUAACCCAUCAUUUAGAGAUGUGCCUAUUGCAAGAUUUUCAUAUCAUCAUUUGUGAUAAAAAAAACUCAUCCGUCAUUAUGGGCAAAUUAUUAUAUAGUUUGGAUCUUUGGUCUUCCAAUUGAACAUCUAAAAAAUAGAUGUUAUAUUAAAUUAUUUUCAAAGGAAGUUGAAUAUAUAUUUGGUCCUAUAUACUUGAAUGCGAUCAUUUUUGUAUCUUGCAUAUUGUAGCUGAAAAAAUAGUAUUUUCUACUAAUCAAUUUGCAACAUAUAAUACAAAUAGAUAUAUUUGGUCAUGAAAGACCAUAUAUAAAUGCUGACGAGCAUUUAUAUAUAUUGUGAAUUGUAUCUAGCACUAGGGCAGGUACCCGCGCCUUGCGCGGUAAGUCGAUGUUUUCGAUGUCGAAAAAAAUCUCAUUCCACUCAUUGUCAGGAGGUUCUUCGUCAUUCUGAUUCCCUACGGCCACAACCCUUCCAAUCAGAUCUGUAUUUAGAAUUUUUAAAUCAAAUACAAUAUUAGGACAAACAACUUUCUAUGAUAUUUGAACUAAAUGAGGGCGGUAUGGUGUGCCUUCUUACCGCCGCAUAUAUUUGUGUCCAAAGAGCCGCUUUUAAUAUCUUCAAAAGAGUCAAACUUGAAGAAAUUGUCAUAACUCAUAGGUUGGAUAUUCCUAAACCAAGUCGUCGAUUUCCAGUGUAUCAUAAAACGAUGAUCGGUAGGCCUAAAUGUUCCAAUCACGCGACUGAGAGAGAAACUCGACAAACUUAUCCAUGAUCUUUCUGUCAGUCUCAUAGAGAAGAUGUCUUCGAAUUCAAUACCCAUAACGGCAUGUAUUUUCUGACCCUAUAUAUGUAGAUAUAUAUGUAUCUUUUUAGUAAGUAUAUGAACAUAUAUAAAGGUAAAAAAUUGUAUUAUGAUGUAGAAAAAAUACCUCGUCAUCAACUAAGAUCAAAUCAAAGGUCUUGUAUCCAGUGAAAGAACAUGUGAACUUUCUUAAAAUUUUGACUUUAAUUUUCCACUCAUGAAUAUAAGGAUUCAGAGCAGAAACAUCAAACAGACACUCUCUCUUACCAAUUCUCUUUUUAAUAGCGUGUGAAAGUAGAUGAUCCAUCGUAGGAGAGAUGCAAAGAAAGGUAUUUUUUUUUUCAAACUUGGAAAGCAAGCGAAUGUCUCUCUCUAUAUAUAUAGUUUAGUUGAAGAGUUUUCGAAGAUGCUAAAUUACCUUUAUCAUAGAUUUUUGCUUGUAGUGAUAAAGGUAAAUAUCUAUAAUCAUUAUCAGUAAGUUUAAUUGUUGACAAUUUGUGUUCAGUAUAUAUCUUAUUAACAAUUUGUGUUAAAUAUAUAUAAUACUAUUAAUUAAACCGACAAUGUAAGCAUAAUAAGAUUUGGUUUGACGAACGUUAUAUUUUACAUGUUGUUCGUAGAAAUCAGAUCGAACUAAUUACGCGUCAUUCACGUACCAUGACGUCAAUAAUCUCAUUAGUAUUGGACGUGAAUAUUGAGAGGAUAAUAACUGUUUAAAGUUAGUAUGAAAGAGUACUUAGGAUGAUCUAAUCCUCAAUAUGUCGAGAUAACGUCGCAUUAUUUGAUAUUAUACGGUCAAUCCAAUUUGUUUUUUAUAAGUCAAACUAUCGCCUAGGCACACGAAACAUCAAUAUUUCGUUUGAUCGCAAGCAGCAAUUUCGUAUGAGAUAGAAGACAAAUAUGUUAUAUAUCGGAAGUUUCUAAAUAUCGAUCGAUUGACAAUAUUAUCAUUUAUGUAUAAAAUACAGCACAAUUAUCUAAGAUAUCCUGUGAGUAAUAAGAUUGUGACAAUAGAAUACGAUAUUUCAAUAGAACGUAAACGGCCAAAGUAUUGUAAAAUGUAAAAAGGAAAAAAGCCCAUAAGAAUAAAAAGUCAGAAAGUAAAAUAUCCCCAAUCAGAAGCCAGAGAUAAUUAUUUCUUCUUUGGAACACUUGUGCGAGUCCGCUUCCUUGAGAUCCUAUUACGAAACAAAAAUUUUAAACCGUUAUUAUAUAAGCUAGUCAUGGAGAACACGCGUAAAACUAAGAAUUCAUAAUAUAACGACUCACGAUGUCCUAAACUCAGCAACUUCUGGAAUGCCAGGAUUCAAACGGAUUUGAGUGCAUUCUGUUGCAGUUAUAGUUCGCUUAUCUAAUAUACAUUAAAAACUUAUUAUUAUUCUAGAAGAUUAUGGUAAUCACAGCAAAUCAAUAAAAUAAAAAUCAGGAUACAAAUGCGUACGUACCUUGAAACACGUCCACGACACCCCAUCGGAUCACACAAAUAAUAACAUCAUAUUGCCACUUUUUAAAAGACUUGUAGAAAUUGACUGCCUCAUAACCGACCAAUUCACACUUCAAGACAUUAUUACUAUAACACAACAACAUAAACUUAGUGUCAAUAUAAAAAAAAAAAACACAUUCACAUAUUAAGUUAUAAGACAAAAAAUACGUACCUGGAGUCACGAAGAUCAAAAGAGAUUUUAUGAUGCACGGAAUAAUCAUCCAAUUUGUCAGUUUUACGUUCUUCGAUCGUCUUACCAUCACAACCAUCGAGGUUCUCUUCCUCCGACUCAGACACAGCGCUAUAUUUUGAGUCAACAUCCUCCUCAUCAUCUUCGACGCCGUCUUCAUAAUCGUCCUCUUCCACUUCAUAGAAAUCAUCAUCGGACUCAGCCGCACAAUCACUGUCAUCUCAUUCGUCAUAGUCAUCUACAAAAUCGUACUCGUCCUCGCUUACCUCAGAAGCAUCAUCGUCAGUACUCGCAAUGCGAUCGUUGACCUCGUCAGUGUCAGUAUCUUCUUCAUCGUUAUCAAUUUGAUAUUCAGGAUCAUCUUCUACACAACCUUCGUCUUCGGUACACGACUCUUCGUCACUAUCGCCGUCACCGGUCAGCUCUUCGACAUCAUCACUGUUGUAACCAUCCAACGGCCCGGUACUCACAGUUUUGACGAUAUCUCCAGGAGGCUUUAGGCACGUCUUAAUCAAUCUUUUAAGAUAAAAAAUUUUCGGUAGAGAGUCACCAUCCUCGGAACCAUUGUCCUUUUUAUAACCAUCCAAACGAUCCAAAGUUGGAAAUUCACUAACAUGAAUGACUUGCCCAAUAACAUUGGAGAAUUAUUUAUAUUAACGUUAGUAUCACAAUUAUGUUUAAUCCAUUAACAAAUAAAUUUAAACGUUAUCUUAAAAUACUUACCAACCGUUAACGCCAUAAAUUUAUUAACAAAUAAUAAAUUUAAUCAUCAGAAUGAACGCCAUACGUUAUCUUUUUAAAAUCAACGAAAUCAAAGAAACAAUCAUCGCGCAUAACAGACGCUAUAUCGAUUUCAGUUGAAUACGGAACAAUUAUUUUGUAUCGAUGAUUAGUGGCCCUGCACGAACCAUACUGCUCAACAACCUUAAAAUCCUUAAAAUCAAACCAAUCACCAGGACUAAUCUUAGAAGCAUAACGAUGGUAAGCACAUCCUCUAAACGAAGCCUGCACCUUUGUACCCUUCCAAAAAGAACCAACAAAAAGAGAAAACAUAAAAAAGAUGAUUAGAACAGAAAUCCAACAAUCAUAAUAUAAGGAAAAAAAACAUUAAUUCACAAACCUUACUAUCGGACAGAAUUACUUCUAGACUUGUGCCAAGUUCACACUCUUCAUGGUGCUAGACAUUCAGAACCCGCACCCGGAUAAGCCAAUCAGUCUUAGAAGAAUUCAAGAGCGAAACAUCGUCAAACAUCCUGUACCUCAUCACCUGGCAAAAUUAAGUAAUGAGAAGGAUCAGAAAGGGCUAAAUCGUUACGGAAAGCAAGAAUAUCAUAACGAAGUUGUAGUCAUUAUCUAAUAAAGAUCCUUACACUGGGAACAAAAAAUCGAGUAUGUCUAGUCGCUAAUCACGGUGGUUUAUGGUAGAGAUAUAUCUAUAUAUAUAGAUAUACGGAUAGACUCAACCAAAGUCAUAUAAUUAUAGAAAAAUAACAUUUUAAAAAUCGUCGUGAUACACACACAAUCACAAAAAAAUCGGUAAAUAUUACAAAAACAUUAUAUUCAUAUUUAUCUCCAAACUUCGCGGUUACCAAAUAAAAUACUGAGAAUAUUUAGUAUAACAUUUAAAUACUUUUUAAAAAAAGAAACUAACAUAAUAUGGAACAUAUAAUUACAUAAAGAGGAAAAACCGUAAACGAUAUCCAUAGAUUAUUCCGCUAAAAUGUCAACAUUCAUAUAUUCACAUAUUCAUUCUAGCCAAAAAAAAAAAAAUGGAAACAUCUAACUUCCUAUGAGCAAAACAUAUAGACAUAUAUAAUAAUUAUAAUACGGAAAUUUCUAUAAUCAGCAAAACGGAAAAAUAGAAAACUGUUUAAUAGUAUAGAAUAUUUGUAUAUAUCAAUAUUCAAUACAAUCUCGAAAUAUUUGGUAGUAAAACAGAAUAAGUAGUUCUUAUCGUAAUAAUUUGUGUUUAUAAUAAUUGUUUAAAAGUUUCCGAUAUUUGUAUAUAUCAAUAUUAAAUACAAUCUCGAAAGAUUUGGUAGUAAAACAUAAUAAGUAGUUAUUAUCUUAACAAUUUUGUUUGUAUAAUAAUAUUAUAUAGUAUAAUCUCCAAUUACAAAAAUAAUGAUUAUGUGUAUAAUAAAAUUGUAUAGGAUAACCUCAAGUAAUACGUACCAUAAUAUGGUCUAUUUGUUAAGAUCAUAUCAAAUCAACCACAAAGAUCAUAUAAAAAAAAGAAAAUGAGAUAUAUAUAUAUUGCUAUAGUUAUUAUUGAUAUAUAUGUGUUUCAACUUGAUUUAUGUAACUCAAAUUAUUAAUAACAUUUAAAAUAAACGGAUGCGAUAUUUCAUCAUUAUUAACAGCAUACGUUUUAAGGUUAAUUGUGCUUUAUUUCUCUAAGAACGGGUAAAUUGGGUAUAGCUAAACGAAUAAGAUAGUUUCAAAUACGCUAUAGUUCACAUGAUAUACCGAUAUAAAGUGUCAUGCCGCCGAUUAGGUAUAAACCAUCGCAUAUAUAUUCGGAGUAUUAAUAUUCUCAAUAGCGAAUAUUUUUCCGGUAAAAAAAUUAGAAUAAGAAUAUGGGUAAUAUUAUUCCCAAGACGAUAAGCUCAACAUAUUCAAAAGUAUUUCAUUCAUUAAUACGGAAAAGAUUUCGUUUACUAAUACGAAUUUAGUAUAGUAAACAAAGAUAUCAUAACCAAAACCUAAAAAUACAUCGAGAUAUCGAUAACACGAUAAUGAUAAUUAUAAGUCCGGAAACACAUCUUCCAGUCCAUAUCGACUUGUGCCCCCUUUUUCAUACGAUCCGGACCACGUCGCGGCCGAUGAAUAAUCUUCAUAGACUCCAUAAUAUAGAACACAUCAUGCUGAACAGAUUUAAAGUUUACAUAUCACAUAAAUAUAUUUAAAACAAUAAAACAAUGCGUUAUAAAAAAAAGGCAACACGUAAAAGAAUACAGAUCGUACCAAAUAUAAUAAGGCCGCACGGUCGAUCGAUUGAUGAUCAUAACUAUAUGAUCACGCAAUAGUAGAGCAAUAAAAUUAAUUUUGUUUUUGGUAAAAAACGCAUAAAUCAAGCAAGAUUAGGGAGAUACCUCAGUUUGGUUUGAGAUUUGUUUGCAAUUCCAUGAUCCAAAAAGUUUAUGCUUGUACCUGAGGAAAGAAAGAAGUGCUAAUCAAAGUCAUGAGAAUUAUCAUGCAUAUAUAAAACCAAACAGCUACGAAAAUCAAAACAUGUAAUCGACCAAACUAUAAACCUCGCGUAAACAACUCAUCACGAAUUGGCAAAGAUCUUUGAAAUCUUACUUUCCAAGUGAGCAUAACAUACAAAGGAGAAAAAAAAAACUGACGACGAUGCAUCAUAGAAAGGACCAAAUUUGAGGUACAAUAAAGUACUAUAAACCAUAAUUGCUAUGCAUAAAAAUCAAGCCGUGAUGUAUGAGUUUCAAGGGAGGCAUCCUAUAUUUAUAGGAUUUUUCAGCAUAAAGGUUUAGGGUUUUACAUAUGACAGUGUAAAUUAUACCGGGCCAUUUUUCCCCCGUAAAAGUAUAAGCCCAAUAAGCGAAUGAACGAAUUAGGGUUAAAGAAACGAAAAUCGUUUAUUUCCUUUUUUCAGAAUUUCGUUUUUUUUUAACAAAAUGGAAAUUUAAAUAAUUUAAUCUAAUUAAAUGGAGGGGGGUAAAAACGACUGCUCAUAUUCUGAGAGCGAACGUGAGCACUUUUGACUUCUCCUUUAAUAUAUAAGAUUUGCUACUAAUCUAUUUGCAUGAUAUAAUUCAUCCCCCAUGAGUAGAUAUUGGAAUAAGUUAAUUGAGGCAUCUCAAACUAUCCACAUCAGCGAAAUGAAAACUAUGUAAGAGGAUGCCACAUUACCUACACCUUAGCCACGUCAUCUAAAAUAUAGUGAAAGAAAUUGUCUCUUCGCCUCCUCCCGAAAACGUUCGGCCACAAACUUUCCCUAAAUCCAUAAAUCUCCCACAAUGCCACAAACUCUUCGAUUUCAAGCUUCUCUCAUCUCCUAUGGCUUCUGUUACUUUUGGAUUCAAUUUCAGCACAUGUUCUUUGAAGCUCCUCCCAUCUCAUGUUUAACCGAAAAGACCAUGAUCUCUUCAGUUUUCAAUGCGGUUUAUACAUCCAGAAUCAACACAACCUUUGUAAAUAGAGAAUCCGGCAAACCAUAGGUAAAACAUCGCCCUUCUUCUUCUCAUUCUCUUUAAUCUACGGGAAGUCAAAUUGUCGUAUGACUAUAUAUAUAUAUUGAACGCAUGUUGGCUUGCUCAUUUAGAGGCUUCUCUCGAUUUUAAACCUUUUUUCUGAUUAAGUAUCAAGUCACUGGAUAAUCAAACAAGUUUUUCAUGGUGACCAAAAGCAGAACAAAUUUACGGGAAGUUAAAUUGUCAUAUGACCAUAUAUAUAUAUUGAACGCAUGUUGGCUUGCUCAUGUAGAGGCUUCUCUCGAUUUUAAACCUUUUUUGUGAUUAUGUAUCAAGUCACUGGAUAAUCAAACAAGUUUUUCAUGGUGACCAAAAGCAGAAGAAAAAUUGAAGGUACAAGAACAUCCACAAGGGUGAGUGCAUCUCAAGGUACGCCAGAAAUAAAAACGAGAUAACGGGGUAUGUUUCUAAGCGAGUGUUUUUUAAGUGUAUCAUUAUCUUUCUUUUUCCCUCCUCUACCAUAAAUAAUUUAUAUAGUGUCUCCCUUACCGGGAUGAAGUGUUUCAAUUUCAGGGUUUGUUGUCUACGUUUUCGAAUCUGAGAUUAUGUAUUCACAAGAUUCCAAAGAUUGGCUCAGCUAAUUAAAUGGAGAAAUGUUCUUUUAUUAGGACUUCUAGAAAUUAUUACUUUAUAGGUAUAAAAUUACAUUGGUCAUCUCUGCCACAGAAAUCAACUCGCCUAGAAAGAGUUCCAAACUAAAUUUGUAAAACUCAAAGAUUCUUGCUAGCUUUCUUUGUUCUUUGGCCUUUCAGGCUAUUAUUUUUAAUCCAAAAAUCAAUAAAGGCGUAAAAGAUUUAAUGUUAUGUUUUUCCUUCGCUAAUGCUCUUUCAGGCUAUUGACAAUCUUCCACGAAUCUUGUGGCCGAAUCCAAAAGAAAAUUCCUACCUCUCUUUAUUUUCAGGAACUCAUCGAUGUUAAAGAUAAUGGAAUGGCAUUUACGGCUAUAUUCAAGAAGUGGAUAUUGAUGGUACGUAUUUCUUCCAGAUCUUGAGAAUUCAAAGGAUAUAUGAAAAUCUAAUUACAAAGUUUUCAUACCCUUUGAUCUUUUUCAAAGCUCUACCAAGUCACAGUUUUAAGUGGAUGAAGUAAUACCAUGUAUCCGGGAUUACCAGGCCGGUAUAUACUUGGUAUCCAGCACAAAAGCUUGAUCGUUUAUAUUUAGUCUUAACAAAGAAAUCCAGGAUUGGUAUCUUGAUACAAGUCUAAAUUUAAGGAAACAAAGAUGGCUUGCAUGUCCAGUAAUGUAUGUGUGCUUUUGAGAAAAACAACGUUUUACCGAAAUAAACGCUUAUAAAAUUAGAGAAGAUCAACAUGAACGGUUGGCCUAACAAAGGUAAAGUCCUCGCCAUAUUAGAUUUUUCAACGAUAACAAAGGUUGGAUUUGUGUGACAUUUUUGCUUAUAGAUGAUUGUAAAGUUUCAUUUAAUACUACCAUUAGUAUACAUGUGUCCCAUGCAUCUACAUAGUAGAAGCGGAACAGUUCUCUGGAUAUGAAUAUUUUUGUAUUAAAUGUAGCAGUUUCAUUCUUAAACAAAUUAAAAACAAUGACACUGUUUAAUACUUUUUGUAAUUAUUGUUUCAUAAAUACAAUACUCCUAAAUGGCUAAAUCACUUUGUUAAACUUACCUUAAUGAUACAGUUUGGUUUUAUCACACACAAAUAGAGAAAACAAAUAUAUGCUUACUCAAUAGUCUUUUGCUAAAGUAUUCCACAAAAUUAUCAAAUGUGCUUAGUGUUACUAGAGAACUAAUAUGUUAAUCAUAUGAUUUAAGAAAAACAGAAGACAGAAGAUAAUUACAAAGAACUAAUAUUUCUUUACAUAAAAAGAUUAAUAUAAAAUUUUAAUUAAAUUAUAUGAUAGUUCACAUCGAUUUUGUUGAGAGUAUACAACUCUCCGUUACUCUAUAGUCUAGAAAUCUAUAAGACAUAUAUAAGAUAAUUACAAAGAAAAAAGAAAUGGUGAAGGAAACAAAUAUGAUAGAUAUUACAAAAAUCACAUCAUAUAUAUGAAAGAUGAUCAACUCUCUCCAUAUGAGUGCCACAUCAUCACACAAAAUAUAACAUGUGUCAUUCUACAUUAUUUAAAUAAAAAAAUGAGCCAAAUUAAUUGAGAAAAUUAGAAAAUUAGAAAAUGAGCCAUUCUACAUACUUGUAGCUUUUUUCUUUAAAAUAAAAUAAAAAUUAGAAAUUAUGUUAAUAAAUUAAGCACUAUUUUUAUUUUACACAUCUUAUUUUAAUAUUUUUUUUUAUUAAUAAUCACUAUUCGAUAAUGACUGAAAAUUUAUUUGUGUUGUAGACUUGUAAUGUAGUUGUUUGCUACCUAACCUUUUAUUAGUUUAGUAAUUUUACCUUAGUCUUUUCUCAUUAUUACGUUUUGUGGUUCAUAUACGACUUUUCAUAUGAUCUUCUCUCUUUUUAUUUUUGUGUCUUAUGAUAAGUUGAUUACCUUGACAUGAAAGUUUUUCAAGUAAUAGGCCUUUGAGACGUUAGACAUAUCAAGAUUUUCAGACACGGUCAUUUCUCUUAUAUAGCUAUAUGCAAUGGCAGAAUAUCUAAAAGCGUUGAGUUAAACGACAUUUUUUUUUGUCUUUUUCUUCUUUUUAUAUGAAAACUCUCGAGAUCUUGUUCAAUUUAUGUCAAUCCAGUAGUUAAUCAUGAGACUAUCACGAUGUGGCUAGAAUACUAGAUCAUGAGAGUACAUAAAACAAGGAAUUGUUUAAUUAUGAUCAAGUCACGCAAGUUCCAAAUCACACAAGUAACAUAAUUACAUAUAAUUAUAUCAAAAUAUCCUACAUUGUUGUUGUAUGUAUUCAUGAUAGUGAAAACAAUUAGGAUCUUAGAUAUAUAAAUAAUCAGAUUUAUACAUGAAAAUGUCUAAAUUGAUAUUCGAGUCAAAAAUGAAUUUAACCAUAACUACAUAAGAUGAAUCUAACUUUAUUAACUAUACAAUAACAAAUAAAAAAAUAAACAUAAAUUAGCAACAAAAACAAUCAGCAUAAUUUCUUCUUAACAAUUUUCAAAACAAACCCACGCGUAGCGUGUGUAUUCAUCUAGUGGAGAAAUAAGACAUCUAGGCUCUAGCUUGAACAACUCAAGAUUAUAAUCACAAAAACAAGCAACCAAGUUUGAGGCAGUGAUACUAAAAGGAAAAUCGAUAUCAUAUGCUUUAUUUGCUAAACGAACAAUCAAAAUUAAUAGACUAUUGGUAAUUCUUUGGAGAUUUAAAGAUUCUAAUAAUUAUAUAUAUAUAUAUAUAUAUAUAUAUAUAGAGAGAGAGAAAAAUGUAACAUACAAUUAUAGAUAUAUAAUUGGUUGAGUUACUCAAAAAGCACAAAAAAGGGCGUUAAUUACCCAUAUGACGCGUACGAUUUGUCGCUCGUUAAAGGCAGAAUUGCCCCUCGUCUGAUGUUGUGUGGGAAACGUAAUUACGAAUCUGCCAUUAAAAGAUGCUGCCACGUCAGUGAGAGAAGGUGUAUUUUACCCGCGAAAAUGUCCCGCGCCGACAAAAGUCUGUCGCUGUAGUGACGGCAGAGUUAAUUAAAUUAUUAGAUUUAAUCGAUAGAAAUAAAAAAAAACUAUAUUUUUCAGGUAGAUUAAUAUCAUAGAGUUAAUAAUUGAUAGAGUUUACGGAUAGAGAUAUUUUAUGUGGUAGCAGAGUUAUUUGUUUCAUAGAGUCAUUUGACAGAUUAUGAUGACUUUACGUUUACUCAUAUAACACCGUGAUAGAUUUAAUUUUAUGUGGUGGUAGAGUUAUGUGACAUUGUAAAAUAAUAUAUUUGUGAGGGAGAGUUUUAUGUUAUGGUGGUAGACUAAAAGAGCGAUUUAGAGUUAUAUGACACAGAAACCGUAAAAAGUCUGUUACAACAUGGUAGAGUUAAUUAUUUGGACAGAGUUAAGAAAUAACUCUGUCAUAACGAGGCAUAGUAACAGUUUACUCAACUUGCACGUUUGGGCGUUUUUUUUGGACGUAUGUGAUGAUAGAUAUGUAAGAAAUUGUUAUCGAUUAGUGUUAAAGAGGGCGAACAUAAAAAAAAAGCGAAAGUCUUGUUUACCCUUACAUUAACGAUUUAUUACGCCGGAAACCUGUCUUGUUCCCCGAAGCAAACAUUUUAGCAAAAAAAGUGUUGUUUAUUACAGAUCUAUUGCUGUUUCAUCUGGUGAAAGAUGGUAGAAAUUCCACUGGUAUGUGGGAAGUGGAAAUUUGCAAAAAACAAAUGGUCAUGUAUUGUAGAUGAAAGAAGAGGUUGCAGGGUACUGUCUGCGAAAGCACGAAGUUCGUUUGAUGAUUUUUUGGCAAUGGUGUACGAGGAUUUCGGGUUUGAUAGAAAGGUUUAUGAGGUUAAGCUUAGUUAUAAAUUGCAUACGAUGAACUUCAUCGUCAUUCCAGAAGAUACUCCUCCGGUUAUUGUAUGUAACCGGUGCCAGUUAGAAGGAUUUAUCCGGCAAUGCAAUUCCGAAUUCGUGGGGCACCUCUGUGUCCAAAUCGAAGAAUAUGAAACUGAAAAAUAUAUUUUCGACCCGAAUGUAUCACCUGAGAAAAAAGAGUCCAACGAAGAGCAGUAUUACAAGAGUAAAUCAGAAGGGAAACAACCAAUUUAUACUUGUUCAAUGGACGGCGAAGCUUAUCUAGAAGGAGAGGAACAUAAAAGCGAGGAUGAGGACGAGAUUUACAGGUUUGAUUGUUGCGAUGAUAGUGAUGGAGCAAGCUCUGGGGAUGAAGAUUACGGUAUGUCUUAUAAGUUAUCAGAUGAGGAAACAGAUGAUGAAGAUGAAGCUGAUGCAGAAAAGUUGGAAGUUGAAGAAGAAGAAAAUGCAGAGGAAGCAGCGGUUAAAGAUGAAGAAGAUGAAGAAAUGGUAGAUGUGCAAAAUAAAGAAGAGAAUAAAAUCGUUCCAAUUGGCAAGAGGGUGUCGAUUACUGCAAAAGAGUAUGUGCAAUUACUUAGUGGAGGUGUUGCUAUCGCUGUUGGGCAAAAUAUGAAUCGAAAUUUCAAUUGGUGAUUCGAAUGAAGAUAAUUAGUGUCUUACAAAAAUUUGACUUCGUCGUUGCUCGGUCUACGCCGUGGGUUUUUGCUGUAAAGUGUUGGGUUAAAGGGUGCACUUGGAGAGUUAGAGCUACACCGAUUGAUGCAUCUGGGAAUUUUCACAUCAAAGUCUAUGUGAAUCAGCAUACGUGUUCUGUAACAGAGCGAUCCGCCCAUUGUAGACAAGCAACCAAGGAUAUACUUGCAGUACUUUACAAGAAUUUCGUUGGUGGUGUAGGCCCAGAAGUACUCCCUAAUCAUGUCUCUGAGGCGUUGAAACUGCGUUAUGGCAUCAAGGUAAGUCUAUUUACUAGGUUUCCAUAUAAGUGCUCACACCCGUAAGGCUUUGUUAACUAUAUGACAUAAACUUUCAUCUCACUAGGUUGGAUAUUGGAAAGCUCAUCGUACACUUAAUUAUGCACGUGAAUUAGUUAGAGGUAGUCCGGAAACAGGGUAUCAAAACCUUCCAGAAUACUUAUACAGGAUUAGGAGAGCAAACCCCGGGAGCCUUACUAGGCUUGAAGUAGAUGAGUUAGAUAGAUUCAAGUAUGUUUUCAUUUUAUUUGGUGCUAGCAUUGACGGCUUUACUUUUAUGAGGAAAGUUAUUGUUGUUGAUGGUACAUUUUUGAAGGGGAAAUAUUUAGGGACCUUGUUACUAGCAACCACACAAGAUGGAAAUUUCAAUAUAUUUCCCUUAGCGUUUGCUGUUGUUGAUUCAGAGAACGAUGAAUCCUGGGAAUGGUUCUUCAGACAACUAAGCUGUGUUAUUCCAGAUGAUCAUGGACUAGCCAUUAUUUCGGAUAGGCAUAAAUCUAUUGCAAAAGCUAUACGGACUGUAUAUCCACAAGCUAGCCGAGGGAUUUGCACAUACCAUCUACACAAAAACAUAAAGCUUAGAUUUAGAGGAAGUGAAACAUUUGGAUUAGUGAAGAAGGCGGCUACAGCUUAUCGGUUAGUAGAUUUCAAUGCAACUUUUGAUAUUAUUAAAGCUUUGUAUCCAGACCUGCACAGCUAUUUGGUGCGGGCAGACAUAACUACGUGGAGUAGGGUUCACUUUCCAGGAGAUAGGUACAACUUCACAACAAGCAACAUUGCUGAAUCAUUAAACAAAGUGUUAAAUCCUGCUAGAAGGUAUCCCAUUGUUGAACUGCUAGACGAUAUAAGAUUGAUGUUAACUCGAUGGUAUGCUGCAAGGAGAAAACAGGCUGCGCUUAUGACAACCAUUCUCACUAAAGGAGUUGAAAAAGCACUAGAGGUAUUACAUUCCACAUAAUUUACUUUAUUUUAAACUGUUUGCCUUUAUUUUUUGAUCCAUCUAUUUUAAUUACUGUGUCUUUCCUCUAACAGUCCCGAGUGACUCGCGCUAGUAAGCUAAGUUUUCAGGAUAUUGAUCUCCAUCAAUACGAAGUGAGGAGUCUUGCGUCUAUGAAUGUUGUUAAUUUAAAACAGAAGAAGUGUACAUGUCGUAUGUUUGACCUCGACAAACUGCCUUGCAUACAUGCGAUAGCCGCAGCUGAUUUGGCUCAUGUAUCAACGAUUUCAAAGGCCCAUCCUUACUAUCGCUCAGAAUACUUACGCAAUGGUUAUUCAAAAUCUGUAAUGCCAAAGGAUGAGGCUUGUUCUGUACCUGAUUCAGUCACCGGGAAGGUUGUCAAUCCACCUUUUGUUAAGGUUCAAUCUGGGAGGCCGAAGAUGUCAUGGAUGAAAGGUCAUUUAGAGGUUGCAUCACCGCGCAAAGUACCAAGGAAAGCAUAUGCUUGUUCUAACUGUGGAAAUGCUGGCCACAAUCGGCUGUCCUGCAAAGCUUGAUACAUUUGGUGAUUUGAACAUAUCUCUACUCUAUGUUGGACCAAUUUGUAUGAAUACAUUUGUUUUCUCUAUGUGUUGUUGUUUUCAGUGAAGCAAUCCUUAAUAUCAAAAACAGAGUUGUUGUUACAAAAAAACAGAGAACUACAACAUCAUUGGGAAUGCUAUUGUUCUUAACACAUAUCAUGGAACCUAUUUGCGUAAUUAAAAACUAAGCAAUGCUGACAAACAGUUAAAUCCGUGUUGUGGUCAAAAUAGCAUAUUGGAUACUCUAAGAAAUGGAUAUAUCCUGAAAAAACUCUCCGUCCUCCAGGACCGAUAAAUCUGACCUGGCUUUCCACCACAUCUGCAAUGUCAAUCGCAUCUUGCAAAGUUUCAAAUCUAGCCAUAAAGGUUCUGUUAACUAUCAUACCUUUUUCAUAGGAUCCACAGCAUAAGAGCAUAACGGCAAAUGCAAACAUAGUGUAGAGGUCAGAAUAACCUACUUCUCCAAGCAUCUCCAACGCUUCAACCGACGGGCCAACUUGAGUCAAUCGGCGCAGAGAUUCGAUGUAUCCAGCAGUCUUAUGACCUUCAGCUGCGCAUCUUAACAAGAAUGGUCGGUAGAUAGAUUCUUCUCUACCAAGUCUAGUGUUAAACAUGAAUUCAUCAAGAUCUACGUCGAGGAGAACUUCACGUGAGUACACAAUCUCUUUAAAACAAGGGCCAGCAACAAUGAAAGGACCAAGGUAUCGAAAUCCCUCACUUCCAAUACGUCGGAUUAUAUCUGUUAUGAGGGGAUUGGGAAUGAAGCUCAUUGUUUAUGUCGUUUUUCGUCACAUGGAGAGUGAGAGCGAAAUGAACAAACUUUACUUUUAUAUAGUUGCAUAUAGAAGACAAGAUACUAAUCUAAUCGUUGACGUUUUAGUUGACUUACACGACCAGCUGAGUACAUAUUGGGCUUUUAUUAAAAACAAUUAAUCCGGCCCAUAGAAAUCCAAACAUGUGCCCUAAUUUUUUAAAGUCCUCCGCUUGGGCGCCGAGAGAUCCCGUCGAAACUCCGUCUUUUUUGCUUCUGAAACCUCUGCAUCUUCUUCUUUGGUUAGUUUGAUUCGUAUUCGAAUAUGAUAAAAUCUUUGGGGGUGUUGUUGUCAGGAAGGGCUCGAGUUAGAGACCAAACGGAUAUAACAGCAGAAGAACCGGGGGAAAAGUAUCCUUCGACCGGAGCUUCAAAUGGUUCUGAUGUUGCUGUAAGUGUUCCGACAGAAGAUUCUUCAGAUGCGGCUAUAAAAGAUCCAGUAGAAGCUUCCGAUGCUUCUGAAUUGGAUCGAACAGAGGAUCCCGUAGAAGGAUUAAAAGGAACAGAAGUUGUAGAAGAAAUGGAAGAAGUAGCUGACAAAGAGGAAGAGGAAGAUGUCGAGAGAAACAUUGAUGCUGAGGAUGAUGAUGAUUCCCAACCACUGCCACCAGAGAAUAUGUUCUUCGGUCCAACUGAGUACAUCAAGGUCUGUAAGGUAGGAAGUAGGUGUCAAUUGGGCCAAACAGUGGCAAUGAUAGAGGGAAUUGAUGCAGAAUUGAAGUGGUUCCGUAAUCAUGAUCAAUUUAAGCAUAUGUUCCACAUGCCUAAGGAACCAAAUCAUAUGUUACAAGGCAUGUGGAUGCUUAUGGUUCGCACCUCUAAGACGGAUAUGGUGAGAGAGUGUUGGUUUGUGGUGAAUGGAGUGCCUAUAAGGUAUUCUAUGGAAGAGCACGCUUUGUUGACCGGGUUGGCCUGCCAUGAGUACCCGAAAAAUCUAGAGAAGAUUGGCAGUUUGAAAUUUAUUAUGAAGAUUUUUGGGAGGACAGAUCAAAUCAAAAUUAAAGACGUGGAAAAGAAGGUGAAAGAGUUCAAGGAUCAGGAGUGUGUUGCUAGAAAGAAAUUGACAAUCUUGUUAUUUUUAUGCAAGGUUCUGAAAGCAGAUUCAAAAGGUGAUGCAAACAUAGAGCAAUUACUGUUAAGGAUUGUUAAUAAUGUGGCAGCUUGUGAGACAUUCCCGUGGGGACGGUACUCAUUUGAGCAGUGUAUGGAAGGGAUCCAGAGAGUAAUGAAGAACAUGAAAGGGUCAGUAAAACCGAAAGCUCAAACAAGCUUUUAUGGAUUCAUUACCCCUCUUGAGGUGAGUCUUCAAAUUAUUAUGAAUUACAGUUUUGAAUUAAUAGUAAUAUAAUGUUAAGACAGUGUUAUUUUGAAUGUGUAGAUUCUGGCUUUUGAGUGCAUUCCACAGCUUUGAAGGAGAUUCAGAGAAGCUGUACCCGCAGAGAAUGAUUGUCCGAGAAUGUGCAAGCAUAGGUUCAGUGAUAGUUGCAUGAAGGGCUUUACUUUGGAAGAAAUACAUGAAGCUCUAGGAGAAACUACGGUUAGCCGUUUGGAACCUCACGCUUUAUUUGAUUUGGUUAGUUAAUCUAUCUUCAUUUUGAAGCUAUGUUAAUUUGACAGGAUAUUUCAAGUAUCUUGGAACCUGAUUUAGAUGAGAGGAAUAUGCUGUCUCGCCUCUUAGUGAAUGAUGUUGAUGAUGGGAUAGGAUUUAUAGACCCAAUAGUUGAUAGCUGGAGAGAGCGGCUUAUCAGACAGAAGAAGAAGAUCUGGUGGGAAAGUCAUUACCAAAUGGAUUUGGAUGCAAGACGCAAUGCUGAUGUCCCUGAAGAAGUUGAUGAUGUUCCUGUUCCAUCUAUCCUCUCAUUACAGGCCGCGAUGGAUAAAGGAUUUGAGAAAAUUGGGGAAAAGCUUGUUGAGAUGGACACCAAAAUCAAUGCUCUGGAUAUGAGAGUUAAGGGGUUAGACAACUAUGUUACAGUUCAGAAAGAUAAAGAGCUAGAGAAGGAACGUUGUGAAGAUAUGUAUCCUGGGUCACCAAAAGAUUUUGUGCCAAAUGUUUAUCAGUCAACACAUCGUCAGAGCAUGGCUUUGGUUAUUCACAGUGGAGUUGCUGACCCAAAACCUCCAAUUAUCCAGGCUUUAUGUGAGUAGUUAGGUACAGCGUUUACGUUCAAGUUUGAAUAAUUUGCAACCGUUCUUACUUAGUGAUUGUCUCCAUAUUUGUGAAGGUGAUGGGGAGCAGGGGUCUGGGAAGAGCAAGUUUCUGGGAAAGAGCAGGAGACUAACAAGAAUAAGACGAGGAACCAGAAGCGGAAGCAUUGUGGGCCGACAAUUGAAACUGGGAAAAAGCGAUCAACGAGGGAUUCCAAGUUUAAGGAGGAGCCGUAUACAGGAGAUGGCAAGGGCCAGAAAGGGAAGGGGUAGAAGGGUAAGAGAAGACAAAAGAAAUAGAAUGUGAUUGAUGCUUACUGUUAAUUUCCAUUCAUAGUUGCUUUGCCUCCAAAAUACUUUCAUAACUAUUGGUGUUUUUUGUUUUAUCUUGAUGAAACUGUGAAAGGUGAUUUGGGUAAUUUGAGACGCUUUAUUUGAUGUUCAAUUACUUAUGAAAGUUUGGGUCUAGGAAUCACAAAAUAGUGUAUAUUACAAUAUAAUGCAGCUGGGCCAACUGAAACAUAAUGCAGAUGGUCCAACUGAAACAUAAUAGAAGUUAGAGUAUAAUAUUAGACAUAAUUGACCCGGUUGUACCUGGGACUUACUUUGCCACUAAAAUACAAAUUGUAAUUUUGCGGAUUCUCUCGUAAAUAAGAAGUUGUCGGAGAUUUAAGCAAAUUUGAGUAUAUUGGGGAGAGAAGAGAUACUACAAAUUGACGGAAUAAAUAAAACAUUUCUUUAUAAAAUGUGGGGUGGCCCUGGAUUCUGUUCUACUGUGAACACGAGAAAUAGAUACAUUGUGGGGUCCCUGCCAUCUAUAUAUUGUACAUACUUGUAUCUAGAUGUCUUGUUGUCCUCUGGCCUUCAUAGUUGAACAAAAUGAGAUUUGGUUAUUUUGAAGUUGAACAUUGACAUCCAAACUAUUAAUCUAGUUGUUCACAUCAAUGUCCACAUAAGAUGAGUUAUUAAGCAGUUUUUAUAGGAUUUAUUUUUACUAUGAAAUUGUUUCACUUCUUUUGGUAUCAAUAUAGGUAAUCAUGCCCUAAUAUUUCCUUGUUACACAAAGAGUGAUUUGUGUAAAAACAAGCUAAUGAUCAAAUGAAACUUAUGCCUAUUUAUAUAUAGGGAAACUUACUAGUUUGACCCAAAUAAUGGCUUUAAUUACUAGAAUGUCUCAUAAAAUAUAGGGGUUAGACUGGUUAUUUUCAUGACGAUAAUACCCUUGCUCUCUUUGUUAGGAAAAAAAAAGAGUCAAAUUUACCCCUAAAAUUUUUCGAAAAACGUCUGAAAAAAAUUCAGGAAAUUUUUUUGGUUUUUGAAAAGUCUGCUGGGUUCGUUAUGACAGAUUUAUUUUAAAUGGCAGACUUAUUUAUCAACGACAGAUUUUUUGUGACAGAUUUCUUAUCUCUCACAGACUUAAUUUAACAGGUAGUGGCAGACUUAAGUUAACACCACAGACUUUCAUCACUUUGACAGAUUUAUUAAAAUUAGUGGCAGAUUUAUGUUCCUAGUGGCCUCAGACUUUAAAUUUUCAUAAAAAUAUCUGUCAUCAAGUGACAGAUUUGUUUUUGAAAAAAUAAUUACCUCUAAUUACUAGAAUGACUUAGUAGUGAUAACAGAUUUUUUUUAUGUUAUGACAGUUUUUUUUUUUAAACAAAAAAAACUGUCAAGUGAUAGCAGAUUUGUCAUUAAAAAAAAAAAUUGCUAGAUUGACUUACAAUCGCAAAUGAAAUAUUUCUGUGAUGACAGAUUUUAUUUACAUUACGACAGAUUUAGGAUUAGUUCAAAGAAAACUGUCACAUUACGACAGAUUUAGUGAUGAAAAAGAAAUUGCUGGAAUGACUUCGUAUAGUGAUGACAGAUAUGUUUUAUGCAAUGUCAAAUUUUAAUUUUUAUUCAUGUUAUGACAGAUUUUUUAUACAUAUUUGAUGACAGACUUUUCAUGAUGGACUACAUGACAGACUUUUUAAACACGACAGACUUUUUUGUUUUGAAUUUCCAUAACUGAAAAAUAAUAAAUGACGAGAUAAUCUAACUUACCAUAUUUUUCUAGGGUUUUGGGCUAUCCUAACCGUUUCUCUAUCAUCUAUCUCGUUUCUCUAUCUCCACGACAGCCACGUUUUUUGACAGCCACGUUUUUUGAAAUUCACCAUGAUGUCUCAAAAGAAAGGUUUGGAGAUGGAUCAGGUGAUUCUCGUAUGUGGCAAAUGGAUUUUCGAGAAUAACAAAUGGUCGUUCACCAUUGAUACAAAUAGAGGAUGUCGAGUUCUGGAAGCUAAUAGGGAAACCAGUUACUCUCAAUGCAUUCGAAUGGUAAUGGAGGAUUACGGAAUCGAGAAUAGAGGCUGUGAUGUUGUGUUGAGUUACAAGAUUUCGAAGAUGUUGUCUCAGAAUCUACCGGAUGAUACACCACCCGUUAUUAUUACUAAUUCAAGACAGUUUCACUCUUUUUUAGGGCAUUUGAAGAGCGAUACAAUUCGACUUUGUGUUGAAGUGAAGAAGAAAGUUACAAUUGAAGCUAAUCAACCCAACACCGAUGGCAUCGUUGAUAGUACCUUGCAGAGAAAACGAACAAGAAUUGCAAACGAGUUGGUUAAGGAAGUUACGGAUUUGAUUAAUGAAGCUGUUGGUGAUGACGGCGAUGACGAUGAAGAAACGAGAUUUGAUUACUGUGACGACUCUGACGGAACCGAUUCUGAUGAUGAGAAUUAUAGCUUGUAUGGGAUUCCACCAGUUGUAGAAGAAAAACAAAUACUGCCGUUGAAGAAAAAGAGUUCAGGUAUCUAUAUUGAAGAACAAAAAGAUGAUGAUUAUUAUGCAAAGUUUCAAUUACCUUCUGUGGAUUUGGCUGUUGGACAGUGUUACGAAUCAAAAGAACACUUGGAAACACGACUGAAGAUACUAACCGUAGUACAUAGAUUCGAUUUCUACGUAGACAAAUCGACACCUUUUCUUUUGAUUGUCAAGUGCUGGAUAAAAGGGUGUACGUGGAGGGUACGAGCUACGACACAAAGAGACUACCCAAAGUUUCAUAUUCGUGUUUUUAUUUCUGAACACUCAUGUUCAGUAACAGAGCGUUCUGCACGUGCCCGUCAAGCAACUCAUGAUAUUCUAGGAGUAUUAUACAAGGAUUUUGUUGGUGGAAUUGGCCCCAAAGUAUUGCCAAUGCAUGUUCCUGAAUCAUUGAAUAAACGUUUUCAGAUCAAGGUACAAUACAAAUUUUAAUAAUUUUUGGCGUUUUAAAACAAAAAGUUUUUUAUGUUUAACAGAAACAGUAAUUUUUUCUUAAUAGAUGGAUUAUUGGAAGGCUUAUAGGACGCUCAGGUAUGCGCGAGAAUUGGUAAGAGGAAGUCCAGAGAGUGGUUCUGAGCAAACUACCUACUUACUUAUACAUGUUAAGAAGAGCUAAUCCGGGGACAUUGACGAGACUUGAAGUUGAUGAAGAAAAAAGAUUUAAGUACAUGUUUCUACCCUUUGGUGCAAGCAUGCUUGGAUUUCCAUUCAUGAGGAAAGUGGUGGUUGUUGAUGGUACUUUUCUACAGGGAAAAUACAAAGGGACACUUCUUACAGCAACAACUCAAGAUGGUAAUUUUCAGAUUUUUCCGAUUGCUUUUGCUGUGGUUGAUACAGAAAAUGAUGAAUCUUGGGAAUGGUUUUUCAAGCAACUGAGCUGUGUCAUACCAGAUGAUGAGGGCCUAUCCAUUAUUUCAGAUAGGCACAAAUCAAUUGCGAAAGCAAUCAAGGUGGUUUAUCCGAAGGCGAGUAGAGGAAUUUGUACAUACCAUCUGUACAAAAAUAUAUUGGUCCGUUUUAAAGGUAAAGAAACAUUUGGAUUGGUUAAGAAGGCUGCGAAUGCAUUCAGACAUGUAGAUUUUCAAACCAUAUUCCAUCAGAUAGAAGUGGGGAAUCCUGAACUACAUGCAUAUCUAGAUAGGGCUGAUGUACGACUUUGGACACGUGUACAUUUCCCCGGUGAUAGGUAUAACUUGCUUACAAGCAAUAUUGCGGAAUCAAUGAACAAUGUGAUGUCACACGCCAGGAGUUUUCCUAUUACACAGUUGUUAGAAGAAAUAAGGUCCAUGAUGACUAAAUGGUUUUCAGAUCGGCGGAGUGAUGCGUUAAAAAUGACUACAUCUUUGACACGUGGUGUCGAGAAAAUUCUGCAGGUAUAUUCUCAUACUUUCAAUCAAUGUCAGUUAAACAAGUAUAUAUGUUUCACUAUUAACAAUGUUAUUCAUUUUACAGAGCCGCGUUGACUAUGCGAAGUUACUUGCUGUGCAAGAUAUAGAUGCACAACAAGUACAAGUGACAAGUGCAACAUCUCUCCACGUUGUAAAUUUGGUCGAUAAAAAGUGUACAUGUUGCAGGUUUGAUGUGGAGAAAUUGCCAUGUGCACACGCAAUUGCGGCGGCUGAGAACAGGAAAGUCUCUCGAAUUUCAAUGUACCAUUCGUAUUAUCACAAGAACUAUCUUUACAAUUCCUAUGCUAACGCCAUCAUGCCAAGGGAGUUUGCUAUACCUGUUCCUGAACAUGUAGCAACAACGGUUUGUUUACCACCCAUACCCAAACAACAACCGGGAAGGCCAAAGAAUUCGAGAAUUAAGUCAGCAUUGGAGAUUACUAUGGAAAAGAAAAAGCCAAAAAAAUUAUACACUUCUGGCAAUUGCAAUCAAGUUGGUCAUAAUCGUAAGACUUGUAAUCUUCAUGUUUAAUUUCUUUUUUCGUCAUUGACUAGUUAUUGUGGUGUAAGUCUACAGUUGAAUUCUUUAUCUUUUUCAUAUAAUACUUUGGUUAAAUUUUGAUAGAUUAUGUUUGUCAUGAAACGUUUGAAAGAUUAUGAAUCUUCCAUAAUUGACACUUAAAUGAGUAUUUAUAGUGGUGGAGUUCGCACUAGGUGAGGUGAAAAGGAAGUGUCCUGAAAUAUAUACACAAACCACAAAAUUUUUUGGUUCCGUACGUAUGAGAAUACUAUCAUGAACGGAAUAUAAAUCAAUAAAGAAGCACUAAAAGUCUGAAAAUAAGCAUGAAAAAGUCUGAAACAAGGUGACACUAUUUUAGUUCCUAGAAAUAAAGAACAAAAGACCUAUAAGUACGAGAUUACAUAAAUCAAAGUCACUCAUUCGAUGGACUCAUCCAUGAGACUAGGGAUCUUGAAACCUACACCACAAAGAUCAAGAUUAGAUGGUUUGGCUGCCUCUCUCACUUCAUCAAAUAGCUCUGCUGCAAGUUUAACACGUAUGGCAUCUAUGUUUUCAUCGCAAAGCCCAUCGAAUGAUUUCCCAAGAGCCAAACACUCGAUGUAUUUGAGUGUGUAGAUAGCACAAUCGCCGGGAUCUUUAUUCAAAGGUACCUUCUUUGUAAUCCUUUUCACGUCCAACAUUGCAUUACUCUUCUUACGUAUGUUGAUAGGUACGAAAGCACUCAUCAUGGCAGGGAUCAUCAACCGCAAAAACAUGCAUUGUUUCAUCAUUACAAGAUCAGUGGUCAAGUUACUGCUUUGAUACAUAAAGACACAACAUUUAAAAGAUCAAAAACUAACCUGCCCAUGCAGCUUCUUCUCGUUUUUAAUGAAUUCUGUUAGGUCGAUAUCCUUCCGAGUUGACUGCCAAUCAAGAAGUGGAAUACCAGUCAAGAUAGGCCUUCUCAACCCAUAACCCUCUCCUAAUCCAGGGAAACUCUCAUACACCCACAUAAGCAAAGCGUGAACGCAUCCUUUAAUAACAUAACCAUCUUUGUUAAAGUCAACUAUCUUAACCGAUUUAAGUAGACAUUCAAAAGCCACUCGUCCCCACGGAUAUUUCUCAAAACUCAUUGGAUCAAGAACUCUUAUAGCACUAGACAAAGGAAAUCUAGAUCCGUGGUGCACUCCAUGUAUUGCCACUGAUAAUAAACACAACCUACCCACCAUCAUCCUCUCAUUUAAGUCCCAUGCCUUGCUAAGAUCCAUCACAGUUCGCAACUCAUUGAACUUUGGACCUUCUGAGAUUGGUACUUUCAUUGCCUCCCAUAGCUCACGGUGAUCAGCUUCAAACUUUUUCGACGGGUCAAAUGGAUCGCAAUUCAGUCCUGUUAUAGCAGCAAACUCAUUUAAGGAGAACCGGACUGGUCUACCAUCAAUCAUAGACCAUAUCUCAUGAAAGUUAUCCACUUUCAACUGAUUUGUGAGGAAUAGAUGUACUUUCUUGGCAGCCCAUGUGUACUCUAGUUCAGCUAGCUUGAUAAACACACCUAGUGAUGAUUUCUCCAAUCCAUCCCACACAUCAAUACCUAAUCCUUCUCUGAUUUGACCAAUCUUGGACAGAUAACAAUUGUGGUUCAUGCUUCUAUGUUGCAAAGGUGAUUUUCCUUCUGCAUAUAGACGAGGAGGAUAUUUGAAGACAUUACUCGAAGACGCCAUUCCUGAAGAUUAUCAAAAUAAUAAAUCAGCAUAUAAGAGGAUUAAUACAAUCAGCUAAUAAACAAUUUAAAACAAAUCUGAUGCAAAACAAAUUACCAACUCAGCCCUUAUUCAUUCAAUUCCUAUAGAAAAAAGAUAUCAAAACUUAAGGAAACCGCUUGAUUAUAAUAUAUAAUGCCAGAAACAAUAGAAACAUAUCAUUACCAAUGAUUCAAGAAACUUUACACCGAUGAACUGCACAUCUAAGCCACGAGAACAAAGAUUAGCUUGAUUGAUCCAUUAUAUUUUUCAAAAUAAUUAACAUUUCUAUGAAGCUGUGACUCGUAAACCCCCAUUUCUUUUUAUUAAGGCAUGGAGCAUAUCAAUACAUAUCUAGCUGAAAUAAUAGAGGCACAUAUUGUAAGGAUCUGUUACUACUCAAAUGAUGACUAGUUAACCCACUCAAUCACUCUAAAUCCUUUCUUGUCCAUAUAUUUAAGAUACAGUUAAAAUGCCCCUUAGUACAUUUGCCAUCAUCUUCACGGAUUCAUGCACAUUUAUAUUUAUAUAAACUAUUAUGUUUACAAUGGCCAGUAUCAGAUAACAACAUAUAUGUAAUGUACCUAAUGCUAGUCAAGCGAUUUAAACCCUAAAAAUCUUAAAGCAGCAUAUAAAAGAAGAAUAGAAUCAGGUAAUCUGUUAGUAACUAAUGAAUUAAUCCAGAUUUUCUAAGACAACCUAUUCUCUAAAUUGGGACAAAAAAAGAUGGACACUAAUGAAUUAAUCGAAAAAAAUAUGUCAUUUAUGAUCCACAAAUCUAUCACUUACUCUCUAAAAAUGUGAAAAAAUAUGUCAUUUAAGAAUAUAAAUUCAGGACCUUAUGAAUUUUAAUCAAAUCAGUUAUUCAAGUUAAUCUUCAUAUCAAGAGAGUAUCUAAUCACAUAACAGAAAUACUAAAACUAAGAGGAAACAAGUAUACAAUCGUCAAAAACUGAGAUAUAAGUUUCAAUACUCAUAUGUGACUUAAUUUAUGCAAUGCAGCAAAAGAACAAUGAGAAAUCAACAAAAGUAGCUAUUCAAUCUGUAAAAAUGGUUAAUCACUUAGAUAAACUUCACAUUACCAGAAGGUAUGAGUGUUCACUAAAACUGAAUCAAUUUAAAUGGAUCAAUUUAAAUAUCAUCAAAACCAAAACACUUAAGAAACUACUUACUUUAUCCAAAAAUCUGACACUUACUCUCUAAAAUAGGACAAAACUAUGGCAACUACAAUCAAUUUUCAUAUGAAUAAAAUCGUAUUGGCAAGAAUUUUUUUUCUAAAACAAAUCCGAAGAAUUUGGCCACAUACCUUACGAAAAUUAUGAUGAACGAACUCACAAUGGCUACUGGAGAGUAAGAUCUGCAACAAUAAAUGAGUAACCAAUCAAAACAACAAAUCAUAGUCCAAAUUUGACCCCUAAAAGUCCAGAUUAAACUCACCGAUGUACAAGUGAGGAGAAAGACGUCGCCGAUGGAUGAAGAACAGCAACAGUGAUGCUAAUAGACCCACGGGAAAAGGAAGGAAUAGAGGACAAUGGGAACAGACUUUGGAAAUAGACCCACGGAUACUAAAGCGGCGGUGGCAAACAGAAUUGAGGAAUUUGGUGAGUCGCUGGAGAAGAAGUGGUGACUACUCAACCGAAGAAACCGUAAAAUAGAAGAACCAUCGGAGAAUCGGAAAAGUCCACCGCAACCACAACAAUUGGCGGCGGCUUCUGUGGCUAUUCACUUCGAAUCAGCGGUGGUAGUCAAUUGGCGGCGGAUUAGUGUCUUCGUCGGAGUUGGCGAUUUCAAUUGGCAGCGGAUUCGUGUAUUUGUCGGAGUCGGCGAACACAUGCAGGUUUCUGAGAGUGGUUUUGUCUGCUGAAACAGAGAAAAAAAAAGAUGAAGUCGACGAUUAAUAAAAAAAUUAGGGUUAAAGUGUUUUUCUGUUUUUUUUUUUUGUUUUUUGUUUGAAUUUUUUUUUAAGACUAAUAGAAUUAAAAUGGGUUUUUGGUAAUUCUACACAAAAUUUGUGUUAUUCUAGUAAACUCCAAAACUAGAGUGUUAAUCUAGUUAUUAAUCUCCAGAUUUGUGUCAAUCUGGGUAAUUUUCAGUUAUAUAUAUGCAUUAGAUUAUAUAUUAUACAUUAAAUAUACAACUGAAUAUACUUUUAAGAUUUUCUAAAUCUUUAACUUGAGAUAAAUAUUUCAAAUCUAUUGUGAUAAUUGCUUUUCCAAGUUCAAUGCUAAUGUCAGUCAAUAAUAAUUAUCUAUAAGUAAUAAUCACUUAUAGAUAAUAAUUAAAUUUUCACGUCUUUUAAGACUCAAAUGUUUCAAUGGGGAGAUAUAACUUCAACAACGAUUCCUUCGUCCCUGUUCACUAUCUUCGUCCCUGUUCACUAUCUUCCCUACAUAUAUUUCAAAAUUUCUCUUUGCUUCUCCACGGAAACCCUAAAUCAUCAAACAUUUUAUGUAAAAUCUAAAAGUUUCUUUAACCAUGGAACCUCAUCACUACCUAUCUGAUUUGAAUGUUCACUCAACCGCUGGUGAAUGGUAGGGUUGAGACCAGAAUGAUCUUGGCCGACGAAAAGGUAUAAAGUAACUUUUAGAUGAUUGUCUACUUUCACUUUUAUACAGAUAGUUUAUUUUGGGAUUGAAUUACUUAUGCAUGGAAAUUUAUAAUGAUUUUAGGCAAAUAGGAUCAACGCAACUAUUCCAAAUCGCUAUUACAACUGGAAUUUCCAGGCUUAUCUGAAACCAGGCCUAUGGUUUCGCCUGUCUGACUUUGAGGUUCUGCGUCCUCAAGAGAAGAAAACCAGAUAUUGUUGCUUCCCAGUUGUAAUCAAGUGUAUCGCUGACACUACUAUGUGGCCUAUUAGUGUUGUGUGCCCUUAUAGUUUCUAUGAUUUUGUUUAUCCAGAGACUGUUGAGUUUGCCCAGGAAGAUGAGAAAGAGUUUGUGACUGGUAAGGGAUUUUCUUCUCUUAUAUUCACUGUUAGCUGAUCUUAAUCUUACUAUAAACUAUGAUUUUGUGUUUAUAUCUGUUACUUAGACGCUAUUGGUGUUGUCAAGGCUGUGACAACUAUAAGAAAGUUCCCUUAUGUCUGUCGUCUGGGAGGGACAGAUUAUGAGUCUAGAUAUGUGGCGUUCAAGUUAGUGGACAUUGAGUAAGUUUCACUUCUAUGAAGUUUGUAUCAUGUGUUGUUAAUUAUCCUGUCAUCUUCAAUUGUUUUUUAACAUAAAAGUAUUGUUCGAACACCGUAUAGGGGUUAGGAUAUCAAGUGUUGUGCUGUUGGUAAGUGCUGUGAGUUGUUUGUGACCAAAUAUGCUCAACAGAUCAGUUCGGUUACUUACAAUUAUGAGCCUAUAGUUGCUGUUCUCCGGGGCUGGCGAAUCUCAGAUGUUUUUGGUAAGUUUUCCAUCAGGACAUGAGGCAUUGUAGGUUUAUCAUUUAAAGGUAGCAAAUUGCAUUUCUAUAUAUGUCUACUUGAUCCUUGAACUAACUAAACUAAGUACCGAUAAUUUUCUUUGUACUUAACUAGACAGCAUUUACAAUAUAUCUUCAGGUACAAAUGUUUUAAUGAGUGAAAAUGGUUGUUCCCGUAUCUACCUAAAUCCAAGGUUGCCUGAUGUAGAUAUCCCAAGAUACAUGUAGGUUUAUAUUACACAUAUGAACAUUAGACAGAAACAAGCUAUGGCUUAUCUUAAACUUACAUUUUGUUUAUUUGUCUACAGUCUUGAUUUCACUGAGAAGCAACGACAUGAUGCUGAGGAUGUGAUGAUGGAGGUGGUUGAAGAGAACUAGUAGAAGAAGAAGGUGUUUGGUGGAGGACCUAAUCCAACCUUGAUGUUUUUCUAUUUCAUGUUUAGGAUCGAACUCUGUUUUUUUAACUUGAAACAAUUGUUACUAUAUUAUGAUAAUAUCGGUUGGCUGAUAAUUAAAAUUGUUACAAUUGUCAUUAAACCGGUUUACAUAUAAACUCAAGACCUACACUCUUCCCCAUAGCCAUACAAUUGAGCAAAGAAUAACAGAAGCAACACCUACUGUCUUCAUAAUCUUCUUACUCAUCGCAUCCUCCAUCUUCUUAAAGUUUAUGUUGUGGAGCUUCAUAGUACCCAUCACUUCCAUCCUCAAAGCAUUGACAUCCUGUGCAACUAACUUACACUUCUCCUCCACCAUCCUAAUUUCUUGUAAGAGAGCUUCAUCAACCCAUUUGAACAAGUGAUCCUCAUUUUCCCUCUAUACACAUGGCAGGGAUCAAUACUCCAUCUACUUUUUCAAUUCAAUUCAACAAUUUGACUAAAUAGAAAAACGUACCUUCAUUGCAAUCACGCAUCGAUAGAACCUACGGUAAGGAUUCUCCUUCGUUUUCGAUGUGAAAGUUGUGAUAUUCUCUCCACACCAGCAUUUCGACGGGACACCAUGAGGAGAAAAACAUAUCGCCGAACUGGAAGCGGAUGAGUAGUAGUUUGUUGUGCUCAUCGUCUCUGAAAUUUCUGAAAUUUGGUUCGUUUGGGGAAGAGUUGUGGAAUAUGAACCCUAAACCCCAAUCGAAUUUAUUUUAUAUACAAGAAUGACGUCGUUUUUUUGUUUGUUUUGCGAAAUAAAGAGAAGAGUCAAAACGCCGUCGUUUUAACUCUCGGGUCAUGUGUUAUCUUACAGUUACUCUUACUCCUAAUUUGGUUUGAGUUUUCAACUAGUUAUAAUAUAACUGAUAUCUUCCACCCUAAUAAUAUAAGCAAAUUUGCGUAUAUUGGGAAGAGACUAGAUACAACGAUUCUACGAAUUGACGGAAUUGUUGAAACAUUUCUUUAUUCAUGUGGGUGGGCCCGAAUUCAGUUCUGGUCGGGUCAAACUAGUGUGAACACGACAAUUUAUAUUUUGUGGGGUCACUGAGAACUAUAUAUUGUACAUAGUUGUAUCUAGAUGUCUUGUUGUCCUCAUUCCUUCAUAGUUGAACAAAAUGAUAUUUGGUUAUUUUGAAGUUGAACCUUGAAAUCCAAACUAUUAAUCUAGUUGGUCACAUUAAAUUCCACAUUAUAUCCGUUUUUAAUCAGUUUUCAUAGGAAAAUAUUCACUAUAUCAUUGUUUCACUUCUUUUUGCAUCGAUAUAGGUAAUCAUGAACUAGUAUCUCCUUGUUACACAAAGAGUGAUUUGUGUAAAAACAAGUUAAUGAUCAUAUGAAAAUAAUAAAUAUUUAUAUAUUUAUAUUACAUUAUAUAUUAAAUAGUAGAUGUUCUAUGUUUAUAGAUUAAAAUUGUUUUUUUUUUUUCCAACAAAAGACUUUUAUUAUUUUCAAAGAGUAAUUACAAGGAUAUUAUGCAGAAUUACUGUAACACAAAUUAUUACAUACGAAGUUUAUGCGCCAUAUACUGAGAAAAGUACAGCAGAAGGGAGUUUGACGAUUAAAAUUGUUAUUAACGUUAAAAGAUUAUAAAUUCUAUUUUAUCUUUUAAAGAUUUUAAUUACAUAUAAAAUUAAGAAUUUAAACUCCUCUAAUUUGUACUAUGUGAACCAGGAAAAUAAAUCAUACAAAUAAACAUGGUAAACUAAGUACUUGGCCCAAUCGAACCAAAGAUUUAUACGGUUGGGAAAUUUCAAACAAAUUUUACAAAGUAGGCUUAGUUGUCCCGGUUGAACAAGGUACACCACCUCACAGUUGUCCUUGUUGAACCACGAAAUCCCGGACGUCUUAUUGGGCUUUUAAUAAUGUAUUAGUCUAUUAAUUAAUUGCACGCCACAAUAAGACCCGGCCCGUUAAGGCAUAAACCAUUCAUAAUAAGGUGAGUGUAACUGAAGAGACAACCCAAACGGCAAUUAUUUAGUUUGUAAUAAAUCGGUGGUUACGGUUCUUCGCCGGAAACACCAUUCAUAAUAAGGUGGUUACUGUUCUUCGCCGGAAACACAAUGGAUCAAAGUACUAUUUAUCAUUCUUCCUCCGCACCGAACUCUCCUGCUUCUGAACCUAGUACUCCCAUGCCGCCUAAUUCUCCCAAAUUUGACGUGCAGCGGUUUCAUCGGUGGACUGGGCGUUCGCAGCCAGAAGCGGGAUUCCCUCUGUCCGAACAAACGUCUCCAAGUGUGCAGCCUAUAUACCCCUAGGAUAGAGUCCCAAUCAACGGGAACGGACUGGAGUUUCAGCCGGCAGGAAGAGAUUUUGUCCCUGGGAAAAUUACUUAUCCAGAGACUUUCUUCGCUUGUUGCCCACGAAGUGUCUUCAAUAAAAACCAACAUUGGGUCGCUAGGGUAAGUGUCUCGAUCUUGAAAGUUAUGGUUUUUGUAACAUUGGUUAAUUGCGGUUUAGUUGUUUGAGUUGUACCCAAAAAGUUUAGAUUUUUAUGACAAUGGUUAAUUGAAUUUUAGUGAUCUGAUAUGUAACUAAAAAAUUAUUGUUUUUUUAACAAGUGUUAAUUGAAUUUUAGUUAUUUGAGAUGUAAAUCCAAAGUUAGGGUUUUUAUAACAUUGGGAUAUGCGUGUUAAUUGAAUUUUAGUUAUCUGAGAUGUAAAUCCAAAGUUAGUGUGGAUGUCGGAUUCACACACUCAAGUAUUUUUAUUAAGUAGGAAAGAUUAUUCUUGAGGGACAAAAAAUAAGAAUGCAAAAGGCUUGUGAAUUGUUACAAAAAUUGCUAUAGUAUUUCUUGCUCGAGAGAGAGAUCCCCUUUACAUGGCCAUUGGCCUCUAUACUUAUACAUAGAAAAAUGACAUUUAAAUGGCUAAUUAAGUACAAUUAUUCUCUCUUAAAUGUGUCCGUUUUGAUUAUUUGACUUUAAUGCUCAACGUUUGAAUUUGAGUUGACUCUGGUCUUUAUGGGCCUCGCCUUUUGGCCCAAGUGUCCUUGGACCGACUUAACCAUGACUUCGUCUCCGGACUCGUAUCGAGGUGCAAUCACUUCGAAUUCUCCUUAUGGUGGUAACCACUUCGAUUGUUCUUUUGACUUGUGGGUCUAGUGGGCUUUAUCCUUAAUGGGCCAUUACCCCGACUACGUGGCAAUCUUUGGUUGGUCCUGGACCUCUGGUGCGGGAUCCGACACCAACAAUUAGCCCCCCAAGUUCUUCGAAGUGCCAUUCCAAUUCGAAGGACUUUAAAUGCUUAAAUGACCAAAGAUUGCGCUCGAGAAUCUUUCUGAUUUCCCGCCGAAAAUCUCAUCACUCCUUUAAUUCCGGCACUAGCCAUUUUUAACCGAGUGACAUCUGUCAUCAUUAUGACCGCAUAGUAAUUAAUUACUAUUAAAACAGGAAAAAACCUUCCCACUUCCCACACAACUUCCAAGGCGGUUUCAUCAUUUAGCUUGUGUAAGGUAACUUCUUUUCACCAUCAUUUUCUUCUUUUACUUUUGUGCUUUAAUCAAAACUUCUCUCUACUUUUCUUCGCCGAACCUCUCUUCGCCGGAUCUUGAAUUUUUCAUUUUUCUCCGAUGACUUCCGAUUCUAAGAGACCUGAAUCUCCGUCUUACGAUGAGAGGCGCUCUAGCAAUGACGAAUGCACUCGUCCUAACGAUAUUGCCGGUCCUCAUUACAAAUCCACCUGUACUCUUCAAUCCCUUGAGCGAUUAAAGGGGCUUUGUCAAAUUCCUCCUGGAAUCAUAGCGGAGGCACAGAUAGCCGAUCCCACGGAAUCCCCGGAGAACCACCGCGACGGCUACUUUUGUGUUUACGAAAUCUACUUCAAGGGCUGCGGAUUGACCUUCCCCCUUCCCGAAGCCCUAGUUCGAUUCUUGGCGGCUCUUGAGAUUGCUUUACCUCAACUAACCCCCAAUCUCCUCCAAACCAUCCUCGGGAUUAUAACCGUUGCGGCGGAAGCUGGCUACGUCAUUGGAGUCCCCGAGCUGAAUGAACUCAUAAGUGUAAGGAGUUCAUCAAAGAAAACAGGGUACUUCUCGGCAUAUCCAAAUGCCAACAGGAACGUUAUUUCGCACCUCCCGAACAAAGAUGAAAACUGGCACCAUCCUUGGUUCCUGAUUAAGAAAACUCCUGCUUCAAUUGGAAAUCUUUCCGAUGUACUCCCAUCGAAGUGGUCUGCGAAGCCUGGUAGAAAUUAGGUCGUAUAUUCCUUCCUUGGUUGUUUUAUUUUUUACUGACCAAACUCGUUGUUUUCACUUCGCAGCUGUCAUUGCUUCGACUCUUCCGACUGAAGAAUUCGUCAAGUUCUUCAAAACAAUCCUUGAAGGGGAAACCCUUUGGAACUCUUUCACCCUCGAUCGGUUUGUCGAGGCCAACCGAAAACUCAGGAUGAGUCCUCCCAAUCUACUUCAUCGUCUUCCGCCUCCUCCCUCAACUCAGGGAAUGUCAGCUCGGGCCCUUACUGCCCAGCGUAAGAAACUCUCCAAGCCGAUAGCAGAGGCUUGUGAUGAAAACAAGGCGUUCCUUGCGGCCGCCAUUGACAAAAAAGACUACAGCAGGACCCUGCUGGUUGAUGAUAACAGCGCCGAGGAGCCAGAUACGUUGCUGCUUAUAGGUUAACACCUCGUCGCGAACGUCGUGACGAACGUUCUCCUCGGAGAGAGCAAUCUCCUCGUCGUGAUUCUCCUCGUCCUACCCGAGACGAUUUUAGCAAUGAACCACUUAAGAACUUAGUUCGCAGGAAGAGGGACAAGUCAUCCCGUAGUGACUCUUCUCCGCGAAGGGAGAAAUCAAGGGCCCGGACUGACCGUUCACCUCGAUCAUCCCCUCCCACUGAACCAAUGGGUCCUCCCCGACCUGUUGAUAUGUCUUCUUCUUCCCAGCCCGACAGCGAAAAGACUGCUCGGAGUGCAUCUCCUAAAAAGGGAGAUUCUGAAUAUCGAGAUGCUUCCUCGAGGUUAAAGCCUGCUCUUGUCCCUCAAGACAAAUCGCUUUCAGGUUUGGUGAUUUACACAUACUUAAACGUUUUUGUUUCUAUUAAGAUUCCAAUUUUUACAACUCCUCCUCCUUCGCAGCUAUGGAGAAAGAGGGCAGCGUCUUCCGAUGCUUCAAGACCCGAUCGGGUUCGAUUUUGCCAAACUUCGACAAGUGGCGCCCUGCGAUUCGUCAACGCUAUCUGCUUCAUGCUCAUCAUUCAUCUCGGGUUAGUUCCGCUUUAUUUUUCCGAUUGUGCUGCCGUUCAUCGAAAUGUCUCACCAUCUCGAUUUCAUGCAUAAUGGCAGGCUAACGGUGAGCUUAAUGACAUGAUUGAACAUUAUGAGGGGCUGGUCCUUGGUCGGGAAAAGGAGAUUGACGCGUGGAAGAAAAAACUUUCUGCUCUUGAGGCUGAACUAAGCUCUUCUCCCGGCUCCAAGCACGAUCUGGAGGACAAGGUCGAUAGUCUGACAUCCAAGCUGGCGAAGAUUAAGGGGGAGCUGCAGGACCAGUAUGACCAAAAUUUCAAACUCCAGGAUGAGCUUUCUGGUGUUCAGGGUAGGCUUCACGAAUCCGAAUCAACCGCCGAUACCCUGAAUAACCAACUUAUUGAGCUUAACGCGAAGUACAAGGCGAUUGCCAAAUUGCGUGAUUCCGAGUUGGCAAGGUUGGCAUCAAAAGCCAGAAAGGAAUUUAAGGGACGCGGGAUGGAUUUGAUCCAAGGGGCCGUCCGCUUCAUGCAGACCGAGAAAGCUAGGUCAGAUUUGGAAUCAGACAUCAAGGAGCAUGAGAGCAACCUGAUUCUGUUGGAUCAAAUCCAUGAAACAGAUUUCUCCGAGGAGCAAGAAAGGACCGAACUGUCGGCUAAUCUUUCUGAAAAGCGGAGUCGCUUGGCAGCUCUUCCCACUUCGACCUUCAACCCGCAGGACUUCGAGGAAUUCUUUACUGAAUCGCCUCCUAUAAGUGAAUCGGGUCUAGACUGGGCAGGUAACACUUGGCUCCUGAUUCUUACUACCUUAUGUUUUUUUUUUUUUUUUUAAAAAGAAAAUUGACUGGAACUGCCCUUCCCAGGCUCAAGUGAGACGGAAGAUGUCGUCCCACCUGAAGUCCCUGUGGCAGCGGAGGUCACCCCGGAGGAUGGUGGUACUGUGGAGGGCGGACCAGGAGCCCCAUCUGACCAAGCGCCAGUCAAAGAGGCGGAUGAAACUUCGACUGCCGAGCCGGAGUCCGAGGUGGCUGUUACUUCGUAGUGGCUGCGUCCACUUUAAAUUGGGAAUUAUUCCAUUUAUUUUUAAAACUUAAUUUCGAACUUGUUUUUGCCUAAGGAGGCUUUAUUAUUUCUUUUGAACAAGAUACUUGCAUGAGGAGGCUUUUAAACCUUUCUAGGUUUUGACCCCAAGGGGGUUUGGUUAAAAUUAUAUGCGGGUUUGCAAAGUCCGCUUUUAGCCCUUUGUGGCCUUGUGGUUAUGCUUUCGAAACUUUUAGGCUGAUCAGACCUUUCUCUUUAGAAUGCGAGAACUGAGCUCGGCUUAAAGCGAGUUCCCCACUUCGGGUUUAGUCAACUCGAUAAAUUUAUUGGGCUUGGGCCUUAGAAACUUUUGUAGUUAAUGCGACGGUUGCUCUUUCCCUUCUUAUUUCUUAAAAGUAGGAAAACGGCUCGUCUUUAAUGCAAUAACUGCCUUUUCUCGAUUUUCCAAAAAUGGUUUAAACCACUCGGGCACACUAUCAUUAUUGGAUUUAUGGUUCCAAGACAAACCCUAAACCAUUAUAAAUAAUGGUUUUUAGAAUCUUACUUGAGAAAUAUUACGAGAAUGGAAAACGAAAAAGUAGCCCCCAUUGAUCCCGGCAGCCCACUCUUCUUGUCCGGCGACGGCUUUGAACCGGCCGGCAUUCUUUUCCCUCACGCCGUCUUUCACUUUCCUUCAAAGGAGAAGAAAGAGGUUUGCGACUUUAUUGACAAGGUUAAUAUAUGUCGUCUUUGAUUAAAAGCUUUUUGUUUCAUCUUAUUCAUUCAUCUUUAUGCUAGGUUGCCGACAAACACCGUCGCUUGUGUGAAGAGAGGCAGCGGCUAGGCCUCAAAAGGCAAACACUCGAGGCUCGCAUUGCUCGGGUGGAGAGGAAGAUACGGGCUUUGGAAAGUGACCCCUUUCAAUGGGAAUGGCUGAACUUCGAUUCUGUUGCUGAGAUCCCGAAGAUGCUUCGGAUGUAUCUCCGUGCUAGAGGAGUUCCGGGUCCUGUGAAUGCUCCGGUCCAUACCAUUCCAUCUGGUAGCGAGGAAGAAGACGAAGAGGAGGCCAGCACCAGUCGGAAACGCGUUCGGGAUUGUUCCGAGGUGGACGCCAAGAACAAGGCGUUCACUUCGAAAACUAAAACGGCGAUGAAGGAGCCUGUUCCUGAGCCUCUUCCAUAAAUGUUCUCUAACCUUUCCACUCACUUUGAACUCAUAAUGGGCUUCGGCCCUUUUUUAUUUAUGGAAACAUUUGCAACUUUCCUUUCUCUUCAAAUAUUCUCGGAGAUGCGUCUUUUAAUGCAGGAUUGGUUUAAGGGCAUAAAUCUCGCCGCGAAUCACUCCAUUUCCGGGCUGAAUCUGCUGCUUGCUAGGGAUAUGAAGUCCCUAUAAAUUACAGCUUCAACUUCCCUUUACUUCUCACUAUUCUUCUUAUUUCUACAGAUAUGGAUUUUAACCUUCGAUGUUCGGAGUCUAUGCCGGACUUCUCUAGGAUCGGAAUGAUGGACGAAGAUGUUCCAGAUGUUCCAAGUAGACGAUCUUCUCCACUUCGCGGCUUUUUCAUAUCUCAGAUCCGAGCUCCAUGCGCUUUGAUCAAGAACCUUCCAGAUAGAGACCGGGAGAUUGCGAUGGCCUUUAUCAAAGCGCUCGCAAUUCAACACAGGAAGCUAUCGCUGGAAAAGAAAAAACUUCGGAAGAAGAUUUAUCGAAUGCAGCGCAGAGUCACUGCGAUAUCAAGGGAUCUUCACAUCCUUAGUUCUCACCCCGGAGAGUGGAUUGAGCUCGGAAUCUCCGAAUUUGCUCGUAUCCCGGAUUGUAUGAUGCCAGUUCUUGAUCUUGCUGGUCAAGGAGUUCAAGUGUUCUGCUCUCCGGGAGGGUUUUCCUAACUCGAAGUGUGCGAAGAUCGAUACUUUUUCUUGUUCGUUUGAAUAAAUGUUUUGCUUCCAAUCUCUUGUAUGUUCGCAUAGCCGAACCUUUACUUGCUUCAAUUGUUCGCUCGGUCGAACCCUUUCCUUUAAUACAGAAAUAAAACAAAUUUUUAUUAAUAGCUGAACUCGUUUCCGAGCUGCCUACGUACCCAUUUCGGGAUCAAGCCACACCGUAGUUCAUGUACAUAAAAAAUGCAUGUAGCUUUAAACAUAAAACUUCUUUAGGUUGAUCACAUUCCAAGGUCGCUUGACUGGCCUGUCUUCUAAGUCUUUCAAUCUAUAAACACCGUUCCGAACCACUUCGGUAAUAAUGUAAGGUCCUUCCCAAUUAAUACCGAGUUUACCGGCACCUUCUUCUUUUUUGUUAUCAAAGACACGCCUUAACACAUAAUCUCCCACGAAGAACGGCCUACUUUUAACUUUAGAAUUGUAAUAUCGGGCUGCUGCCUGCUGGUAAUUCUGAAUCCGAAUCAAAGCUUGAUCACGCCUUUCAUUUAUGGUAUCUAGUGAAUCAUUAAGCAUUGCUGAAUUUUCUUCCUCAUUUAAUGGUGCUUCUGUUCGGCGAAGUCCGGGCACGUUGAGUUCAGCUGGUACUACUGCCUCCAUGCCAUAAACCAAAGAGAAUGGAGUUUCUCGGUAGGUCGCCACCUUUAAAUCUCCCCAAAACUCUAUGUGGUCAACCGCCACUAUGUCCUCUACAUCAAUUUCCGCACAAUUCAAACCAGUUAUGUCUUCAUAUAUUCAUGAAGCGAAAACCUAAUUGGACUACCUUCAAUGAGACACCAAAUCUCAUAUGGCCUACUAAUUGCCAAUUGAUGAGUUAACAGGUGAUGCACAAGCUUUGCCCACCAUACAAAAGAACUGUCAGCAAGGUUCAACAAUACUCCCACUUUAGACUGAUCACGUAUCUGAGAGUAAGCAUCUUCCCCAAUCUUCUCUUUCAAUCUUGCUAAACUAUCCAAGGUGCAGUUAAUAUGCAUGCUCCUUCCCUUCAUCGGUGCUUUCCCUGCAGCAUAAAGUCUUUUGGGGUAGCUCUUCUUCGCAAUUACUGCACAAAGUACAACUUCAUUAUGUCUCUCUUUUAUAACUUUACUACAUAUACUUACAAAGAAACUCUAUCCCAUAUUUCUAUCAUUAGAUUAUCAACCCCGCCAAAUUCAAAUACAUAAUUUUUUACCUUCUUCUCCCAUUUCUUCACUCGCUUGAUCAAUUAAUCAAUCCACCUCUUUAUCCCAUCGGAACAUAAAUCACAAAACAGAACGAUUAGGUUUAAAAUUAUUCCAACAGCUAACUAUUUCAAAUCCAAAUCCCUCAAAAAUUAUUCCAACAGCUAACUAUCUCAAAUCCCUCAACAGCUAACUAAGAAAUUCUUACCACAUUCGCCGCCGUUAAUCGACGCCGUAUCUUCGCCGUAACCUCGCCGUCGCCAAUUGUACACAGAUCCGUCUGUAAAAAAUUAACGAUUUCUACUAUAAAAUCAUAGCAGUUUGAUACUUUUGCUAACAUAAUAGCAGAACAACUCAAACUCUUUAAUUGAAACACAACCGGAUAUCUUACCGGAAUUUCUCCCUCAGGCCCGACCGUUGUUCCCGACACAAAAACCAAACACAAACACUCUUUUCCACUUACUCACUCUUCUUAGUUAAUCUCGAUUAAUGGUUCUUUUUUUAAUUCUAAAUGGCAAACAUGUAUAUAAAAUAGUUAGAGAGGCUUAAAAGACUUUUGCCAACUUUUAAGUGUUAUUUGAGUAAGACCCCUGUGGAUGUCGGAUUCACACACUCAAGUAUUUUUAUUAAGUAGGAAAUAUUAUUCUUGAGGGACAAAAAAUAAGAAUGCAAAAGGCUUGUGAAUUGUUACAAAAAUUGCUAUAGUAUUUCUUGCUCGAGAGAGAGAUCCCCUUUACAUGGUCAUUGGCCUCUAUACUUAUACAUAGAAAAAUGACAUUUAAAUGGCUAAUUAAGUACAAUUAUUCUCUCUUAAAUGUGUCCGUUUUGAUUCUUUGACUUUAAUGCUCAACGUUUGAAUUUGAGUUGACUCUGGUCUUUAUGGGCCUCGCCUUUUGGCCCAAGUGUCCUUGGACCGACUUAACCAUGACUUCGUCUCCGGACUCGUAUCGAGGUGCAAUCACUUCGAAUUCUCCUUAUGGUGGUAACCACUUCGAUUGUUCUUUUGACUUGUGGGUCUAGUGGGCUUUAUCCUUAAUGGGCCAUUACCCCGACUACGUGGCAAUCUUUGGUUGGUCCUGGACCUCUGGUGCGGGAUCCGACACCAACAAUUAGCCCCCCAAGUUCUUCGAAGUGCCAUUCCAAUUCGAAGGACUUUAAAUGCUUAAAUGACCAAAGAUUGCGCUCGAGAAUCUUUCUGAUUUCCCGCCGAAAAUCUCAUCACUCCUUUAAUUCCGGCACUAGCCAUUUUUAACCGAGUGACAUCUGUCAUCAUUAUGACCGCAUAGUAAUUAAUUACUAUUAAAACAGGAAAAAACCUUCCCACUUCCCACACAACUUCCAAGGCGGUUUCAUCAUUUAGCUUGUGUAAGGUAACUUCUUUUCACCAUCAUUUUCUUCUUUUACUUUUGUGCUUUAAUCAAAACUUCUCUCUACUUUUCUUCGCCGAACCUCUCUUCGCCGGAUCUUGAAUUUUUCAUUUUUCUCCGAUGACUUCCGAUUCUAAGAGACCUGAAUCUCCGUCUUACGAUGAGAGGCGCUCUAGCAAUGACGAAUGCACUCGUCCUAACGAUAUUGCCGGUCCUCAUUACAAAUCCACCUGUACUCUUCAAUCUCUUGAGCGAUUAAAGGGGCUUUGUCAAAUUCCUCCUGGAAUCAUAGCGGAGGCACAGAUAGCCGAUCCCACGGAAUCCCCGGAGAACCACCGCGACGGCUACUUUUGUGUUUACGAAAUCUACUUCAAGGGCUGCGGAUUGACCUUCCCCCUUCCCGAAGCCCUAGUUCGAUUCUUGGCGGCUCUUGAGAUUGCUUUACCUCAACUAACCCCCAAUCUCCUCCAAACCAUCCUCGGGAUUAUAACCGUUGCGGCGGAAGCUGGCUACGUCAUUGGAGUCCCCGAGCUGAAUGAACUCAUAAGUGUAAGGAGUUCAUCAAAGAAAACAGGGUACUUCUCGGCGUAUCCAAAUGCCAACAGGAACGUUAUUUCGCACCUCCCGAACAAAGAUGAAAACUGGCACCAUCCUUGGUUCCUGAUUAAGAAAACUCCUGCUUCAAUUGGAAAUCUUUCCGAUGUACUCCCAUCGAAGUGGUCUGCGAAGCCUGGUAGAAAUUAGGUCGUAUAUUCCUUCCUUGGUUGUUUUUUUUACUGACCAAACUCGUUGUUUUCACUUCGCAGCUGUCAUCGCUUCGACUCUUCCGACUGAAGAAUUCGUCAAGUUCUUCAAAACAAUCCUUGAAGGGGAAACCCUUUGGAACUCUUUCACCCUCGAUCGGUUUGUCGAGGCCAACCGAAAACUCAGGAUGAGUCCUCCCAAUCUACUUCGUCGUCUUCCGCCUCCUCCCUCAACUCAGGGAAUGUCAGCUCGGACCCUUACUGCCCAGCGUAAGAAACUCUCCAAGCCGAUAGCAGAGGCUUGUGAUGAAAACAAGGCGUUCCUUGCGGCCGCCAUUGACAAAAAAGACUACAGCAGCACUACAAGAAAACACGCGUUUUGCGAUGGAAGGAUUCCUUGCUAAUCCCUCGCAAAACGACAUUCGCAAGGGAUUUGCGAGAAACAACAGUUCCUCGCAAUUCGUGUCUCGCAAAUCGGUUAACGUUGCAAUUCCCUCGCAAAUUUUGCUAGGAACCUUUUCCCUCACAAAACACGCGCAAUUUGCGAGGAAUUUUUACGGUAGCAAAUGUCUUGCAACUACAAUUCUUUUAAACAAUAGAUUUUUUAAUUUAAAUUAUGUUAUAUAUAUGCAUACUAUAUAUAUAUAUAUAUUAUUUUUAAUUUAAUCUAUUAAAUUUUUUACUAUUAUAUAUAAAACUAAAAUAUCAAACAUGAUUUUCUUUUUAGAUUAUUAGUUGUUAAUCAAAAUAUCAAAAUUAUUUGAUUAUUAAUUUUGAUUACAAUUAAUCAAUACAAACUUAAUUAGUGAAAAAAAUUAGAAAAUUAAAAAGCUUCAAAGCUUGCCCUCUGCUGCACCCCUCCGCCGUACUCCUCCACCCCGUUCUCCUUCGCAGCCAUUCUCCUCCGCUAACGCUCUCCUCUGUCACCGUUCCGCCGCCGUUCUCCUCCGCUGCCGCUCUCCUCUGUCACCGUCUCUAGCAAUAUACCCUUAAUCCCUAGAUUCCAAUUGUUUGUAGUCAAUAUUUACUAGAUCGAAAUCAGAAACACAAACAGAACCACAAAACUAUCUAAUAUGAAAUGGUGGUGGUGUUGAUGGUGAACGGCGACCGAACCUUUGAAAUGUGUUAUGGUGAACGACGGCCGAACCUUCCAGAUGUGGUGUGAGCGACGGCCGAACCUUCAAGAUGUGGUGGUCGUGAACGGCGAAAGCUUUUAGAUCUUGGGAAGAAGGUGAAAGAAUUAAGGAGAAGCCAUUGGUAGAGUUAAUUGAUUUGGGUUUGGAAAAUGAGAAAGCUUGAAGAAACAAACGAGACCAAGAAGAAGAAGGAGAAAAAGAAGGAGAAAAUUUGGUCCCUUGAUCUUUUGCUAUCAACGGUGGAAAAGUACAAUCCUUGUCUCAAUAUAUUAGCCAAUCAGAAACUCUCAAUAUUUUUUCCUCUUCUUAAUCAUUAUUUUAUUGAAAUAAACUGUAAUUUGGAUAUAUAAAAGGGAAAUUGUUAAAAAUGUCCCUUUUGGUGUGUCCCUUUUCAAAAAUGCCCCUUUUAGAUGUCUAUUUUAAAAAAUGCCCCUUUUUAAAUCUGAAAUUUUUAUAAAGUUUUAUUAGGUUUAUAAGUUACUUAUGAAUUGUAACUACUACUUGAAGACUCGAUCCAAGUAUUUAUAAGGUUUUAUAAGGUGUUUUUAAAGGUUUUACAAGUUAUUUUAAAGGAUUUUUAAGGUUUUUCAAAGGUUUUACAAGAUAUUUUAAAGGUUUUUAAAGGUAUUUAAAAUGUAUUUAUAAGGUAUUUAUAAAGUAUUUAUAAGAUUUUAGAUACAUAGAAAUGUAGUUUGUGUAUGUUUUAAUAAUGUUACAUACAUAUUUAGGUAAAUCUUAUAUUUUUAAGAACAUUUUUUAUAAAGUUUUAAAGAAGGGACAUUUUUUAAAAGUGGCAUUGAAAAAUGGACAUUUUCGCAAAAGCCCCUAUAUAAAAAGUUACAAAAAUGCAAAAAUAUUCUCUCAUGAAAAAUGAAAGAUUUAAUUUGAAUUUAAUUUUUUUUGAAGUGAUGGAUUAUACCUUUUUAGUAGAAAAUAAAUUCUUAGGGGGGUGUAUUGAAUUAAAGAUUUGAGAGGAUUUGGUGGAAUUUAGGAAAUUUUGGAUUUUGAGAAAGUUAAGUGAGUUGAAUGGUGGAAUUAUAAAAUAUUGGAUGAUUUGGUGAGAUUUUAUUUGAUGAGAUUUGGUGAUUUUAAAUAGAUAAUCUUGGAUGAUUUGGUGAGAUUUUUAAAACAAAAAAUAGAAAAAUUGGAUUUACAAAACAAAACACUGCGACAUUGGUUUACACAAAAAACAUAUUCUCUUUGCAACGUUGCUUUACAACAAAAUAGAAAAACUGGAUUCUCUCUGCAAUACGUUUGAAAAUAUGUUCAACGUCGUCUAUAGUAUAAAAAUAGAGAAUUCGUGGUGUGGUUGUGAAUUUGAGAAAGUUAAUGUCCAACGUCAUGGCUUCGUAACGCAAAUCGAUGGUCAAAUCAGGAAUUUCUGUAAUAGCUUCCCACACAUUCUCAGCUUUGUCUUCAGCUUCUUUUUCUUCAGUUUCUUUUUCCCAUCUUCUUUGUAUCAUGCCAAGAAUCUGAUUACCGAACUCUUGCACUGUGUUCACUUCAUCAAAAGCUUUGUUCGAAUUAAAUGCAUCAGUUCUAGCUUUCUUUCGUUGAGGAAGCUUUUCUAACCUGUUUUUCUCAAUUGAAGAGAAAACGUCGUGCACAGAUUUCUCAGCGUAUGGUAUUCUGUCCAUAUCAUCCAUUAUCCCGUCAUUCUCUCCAACUUGGUAAGAAUCUGCAUCAACGGUAUCGCCUAAACCCACAGCAUUAAGCCCAGUUGCAGUAUUAGAUCCAAAUAUCAUUCUUAAAUCUUCAAAAUCUUCAAAUGACUCAUUACGCAUAUUUGUUUUGUUUGGAUGAGCCUAUUUAAGAAAAAACAAAUCUAUAGUCAGUUUGUAUACAUAAGCAACACUAUUAUAUUCAUCAAGUUUAUGUUGUAAUUUUUUUACCUUCAAAUAGUCAUCCCAGACUUCAUCUCUAGCGGUGAAUUUUUUCGUUUCAGGAUCCCACCCAAACCCUGAACUAAAACGAAGAAGUUCCGCCAUGCUUUUGUACCUACCCUUCAAGAUCUUCAUCCUAUUUCGGUACUCACUGUAGGUUUUCUUAGCUCCAAGCUGUUUGUUUAUAGGUGGUAAUAUUCUUGUUUCCACCGUUAAUUUGUUAAACUUGCCAUUAGCAUCACGAAAACCAUGAUUGAUUGCGUCUACUAGCAGACGCAAUAACAUCUUGUGUUGAGGUUCAGACCAUUUUUUAUAUGGACCUUUGGCAUCUUGUGUAUCUUGUGUAUCUUGUGUAUCUUGUGUAUCUUCCAUUGUAGUGUCGGAACUGGCCAUACAAUAUAAAAAAAUAUGUAAAGCAGACAUUCUAAUUGUUAUAAAGCAAAACAGUUCUACAUAUGAUUUUUGAUAUAUCCCACAUUCCCACUAAACAAUUUCUAAACCCAAACAAUUCUACCAUAAACCAUAUCAUUCGAAGAACAAAGAUGGUACUUUCUAAUUGCAGCUAGCCGUAAACUAACAACAUCCAAUGUUUCUCACACCACAUUAAGAACGCACGUUUCAGUAUAUAUUAUUAUAUGAUCAAAGAGGAACAUCACCUAAAAGAGCAUGAAAGUAAUUAAAAUAGAAACAAAUUAACAAAAGAAAAUCAAGAGAAUACUCACUUUGACAGAAAAGAGAUACAGCUUGAAGUAUAUCGAUAGUAAUUGUAUAAGCUGCUAAGAAAAAGUUAUUGAUUGUGAGUAUUUAUACACCUAACAAGUAACCCUAAUAAAGCUAAACGUGAAAGCCCAUCAUAAUAUAUAAGAGCAGCCCAUAUCAUUUUUACGCAUCCACGAUUUCACUACUCAUAUACAAAAAUAAUAUAAGGAUCAGAUCCAUAGAUGAUACAAAAGAGUGACUUUUGUGUUUACCACCGGAUAAAGGAAAGGAAGUAGUGUAGAAUUUACUGCCGGAAAAAUCAAGGAUGAUCAGAUUAGAAGAUCCUGGUGAAGCAAUGAACUGUGUAAGAAAUUAGACCAGCCUUAUGGCCGUCGACCACCGUAAAUCAUGAGGAAAAUUGAAAUCCAUAAUUUUGGGUUGGGAAAUUCAACUGAAUUAACAAAUUUGAAAACUUACCCAGAUUGAAAAUGAUGAACAAAAAGAGAGACACGAACGAAAAUCUCCAAGCGAUGUCACAACCGAGAAGGAAGAGAAAAUGACUGUCUUGUUUUUGACGAUGAGAAUGAGGACAAUUUCUCUUUUCUUUUUUUUUUUAAUUUUGUUUAAAGAAAAUUCUUCAAAAAUAACACCUCCGAAGGUGUUAUUUUUUCAAUUGGAUUUUUUAUGUAAAAUUGUAUCCAAAGUCUCCCAAAAUCAAUGUCAUGAUUUUUUUAUUAAAAAAAAGUUGUGUUUUGAAUAACAGUUGAUUUAAAAUCAACUUUAGGAAUUAUUAUUUGAAUAACAGUUGAUUUGAUAUCAACUUUAGAAAUUGUUGUUUGAAUAACAUUGGAUUUGAGAAGAGAUUUGAAAAUCCCAAAUUCAAUAACAGGUGAUUUUACUAAAAUCCCAAAAAAAAUUAAAAUCCUACUUCCAAUACACCCCCCUUAGAUUAGAUUUUUGGUGUUUUAUGUUAAAAAAAUUACUAGAUUUAAUACUUUUAAGGGUUAAUUAAAUUUUUUAAAAUAUCUUGAUGAAUUUGCAAAGUCAUUAAUUUGCUGAUAUAUUUCAUCACUUAUUAUCAACUUUGGUUUUAUAGUUUGUGAGUUUAAUUUUGAUUUUUUUGAAAACUUUCAUUUUUCUAAGUAUUGGAUUUUAGUUUUGAAAAAAAAUAAAAUAACAUAUAUAUAAAAUUAAUUAAGUUGUUUGUGAAGAGUUAUAUUUGGUUAAUAUAUAGUUGUUGACAAAUAUAUUGUAGUGUAGGGUUUGGGGUUAAGGUUUGAGGUAUAGGGUUUGGAGUUAAGGUUUAAGAUUUGGGGUUAGGGUUUGAAAAAAUAUUGGACCUGAAAAACUAUAAUGUUUUUAUAAGUGUUGGAUCUUAGAUUUUGGGUAUAUUAUUGUAACUAGAUUUUGUUUUUAGAGUUUAUGGUUUUAGGAUUUGUGUUUAAAAUAUUUUGGAAGGCAACUUUAAAAUUGUUUCUAAUUUUUUUAGGAAUUUUGCGAGGGAAUUGCAAGAGGCCGUAGCAAAUCCCUCGUAAAUGGUUUAGGGUAUAAGGUUUAGUGAUGCAUUAUUGAGAAUUGUGCGAAAGAUUUGAGAGUAAUGAGAUAGAUUUUUAAAUCAAAUCAUCCCUCGCAAAGUCUUCAUUAGGAUUUUUAAAAAACACAAUGACAUGCUUAAAUAUUAUUAAGCAUGUCUUAUUCAUUUUCAUUUUCCUAUUUCUAGUAAGUCCCUCAGCAAAAAAAAACAUGACUAAAUAUCUUAAAUAAAUUAGGAUUUAGGGUAAAGAUUUGCGAGGGAAGUGCUACGAAAGCCAUGCAAUUCCCUCGCAAACUCUUGAUUUAGGGUUUAGUUUUGCUAGGGAAUUACUAGUAUCCUUCGCAAAACCCUCGCAAAAUAGAAUCAAUUUGAAAAAAAUAACAAAACACUACUAAAAAUCAUUCGGAUUCAUUUUUUUGAAUCAUUAGGAAGUUAAUUAUCUACAUUAGAAUCUACUUUCUCAUCAUAUACUUCGAAUUCGUCCGAAUGUGCAUUUUUCUCAAAUACGUCAAUGAUGAUCUUAUGUUUUUAUAUAAUAUGAAUCAAUGUUUAUAACAUUUUCAAAAUAAAAUGUUAAUAUUGAAACCUAUACAACAUUUUUUUAUGCAUCACCAUAUAUUCAACUUGUCUGAUUAUAUGGUCUCCUAGAAUCACAUUUAUAAAUAAAAAUCAAAGAUCGCAAAACACUUUUAUGUAUUUUAGGGUUUAGGGUAAAGAUUUGCGAGGUAUGUGCGGGAGAAUUGCGACAGAAUAUAUUGUUCCUCGCAAAGUACUCGUAAGUCCCUCGCAAUUUUGCGAGGAAACUUUCCCUCGCAAAUUUUGCGACAGAAGUGCGACGCGCGUCAUUUUCGUAGCAAAUUACUUGCAAUUCCCUCGCAAAUUUGCGAGGGAUGGUUUCCCUCGCAAAGUUGCCUCGCAAAACGACUGUUUUCUUAUAGUGCAGGACCCUGCUGGUUGAUGAUAACAGCGCCGAGGGAGCCAGAUCCGUUGCUGCUUAUAGGUUAACACCUCGUCGCGAACGUCGUGACGAACGUUCUCCUCGGAGAGAGCGAUCUCCUCGUCCUACCCGAGACGAUUUUAGCAAUGAACCACUUAAGAACUUGGUUCGCAGGAAGAGGGACAAGUCAUCCCGUAGUGACUCUUCUCCGCGAAGGGAGAAAUCAAGGGCCCGGACUGACCGUUCACCUCGAUCAUCCCCUCCCACUGAACCAAUGGGUCCUCCCCGACCUGUUGUAUGUCUUCAUCUUCCCAGCCCGACAGCGAAAAGACUGCUCGGAGUGCAUCUCCUAAAAAGGGAGAUUCUGAAUCUCGAGAUGCUUCCUCGAGGUUAAAGCCUGCUCUUGUCCCUCAAGUCAAAUCGCUUUCAGGUUUGGUGAUUUACACAUACUUAAACGUUUUUGUUUCUAUUAAGAUUCCAAUUUUUACAACUCCUCCUCCUUCGCAGCUAUGGAGAAAGAGGGCAGCGUCUUCCGAUGCUUCAAGACCCGAUCGGGUUCGAUUUUGCCAGACUUCGACAAGUGGCGCCCUGCGAUUCGUGAACGCUAUCUGCUUCAUGCUCAUCAUUCAUCUCGGGUUAGUUCCGCUUUGUUUUUCCGAUUGUGCUGCCGUUCAUCAAAAUGUCUCACCAUCUCGAUUUCAUGCAUAAUGGCAGGCUAACGGUGAGCUUAAUGACAUGAUUGAACAUUAUGAGGGGCUGGUCCUUGGUCGGGAAAAGGAGAUUGACGCGUGGAAGAAAAAACUUUCUGCUCUUGAGGCUGAACUAAGCUCUUCUACCGGCUCCAAGCACGAUCUGGAGGACAAGGUCGAUAGUCUGACAUCCGAGCUGGCGAAGAUUAAGGGGGAGCUGUAGGACCAGUAUGACCAAAAUUUCAAACUCCAGGAUGAGCUUUCUGGUGUUCAGGGUAGGCUUCACGAAUCCGAAUCAACCGCUGAUACCCUGAAUAACCAACUUAUUGAGCAUAACGCGAAGUACAAGGCGAUUGCCAAAUUGCGUGAUUCCGAGUUGGCAAGGUCGGCAUCGAAAGCCAGAAAGGAAGUUAAGGGACGCGGGAUGGAGUUGAUCCAAGGGGCCGUCCGCUUCAUGCAGAUCGAGAAAGCUAGGUUAGAUUUGGAAUCAGACAUCAAGGAGCAUGAGAGCAACCUGAUUCUGUUGGAUCAAAUCCAUGAAACAGAUUUCUCCGAGGAGCAAGAAAGGACCGAACUGUCGGCUAAUCUUUCUGAAAAGCGGAGUCGCUUGGCAGCUCUUCCCACUUCGACCUUCAACCCGCAGGACUUAGAGGAAUUCUUUACUGAAUCGCCUCCUAUAAGUGAAUCGGGUCUAGACUGGGCAGGUAACACUUGGCUCCUGAUUCUUACUACCUUAUGUUUUUUUUUUUAAAAAAAAGAAAAUUGACUGGAACUGCCCUUCCCAGGCUCAAGUGAGACGGAAGAUGUCGUCCCACCUGAAGUCCCUGUGGCAGCGGAGGUCACCCCGGAGGAUGGUGGUACUGUGGAGGGCGGACCAGGAGCCCCAUCUGACCAAGCGCCAGUCAAAGAGGCGGAUGAAACUUCGACUGCCGAGCCGGAGUCCGAGGUGGCUGUUACUUCGUAGUGGCUGCGUCCACUUUAAAUUGGGAAUUGUCCCAUUUAUUUUUAAAACUUAAUUUCGAACUUAUUUUUGCCUAAGGAGGCUUUAUUAUUUCUUUUGAACAAGAUACUUGCCUGAUGAGGCUUUUAAACCUUUCUAGGUUUUGACCCCAAGGGGGUUUGGUUAAAAUUAUAUGCGGGUUUGCAAAGUCCACUUUUAACCCUUUGUGGCCUUGUGGUUAUGCUUUCGAGACUUUUAGGCUGAUCAGACCUUUCUCUUUAGAAUGCGAGAACUGAGCUCGGCUUAAAGCGAGUUCCCCACUUCGGGUUUAGUCAACUCGAUAAAUUUAUUGGGCUUGGGCCUUAGAAACUUUUGUAGUUAAUGCGACGGUUGCUCUUUCCCUUCUUAUUUCUUAAAAGUAGGAAAACGGCUCGUCUUUAAUGCAAUAACUGCCUUUUCUCGAUUUUCCAAAAAUGGUUUAAACCACUCGGGCACACUAUCAUUAUUGGAUUUAUGGUCCCAAGACAAACCUUAAACCAUUAUAAAUAAAGGCUUACCUACCUCUAAGCUUUCUUUAAAUACGAUUUUAGAAUCUUACUUGAGAAAUAUUACGAGAAUGGAAAACGAAAAAGUAGCCCCCAUUGAUCCCGGCAGCCCACUCUUCUUGUCCGGCGACGGCUUUAAACCGGCCGGCGUUCUUUUCCCUCACGCCGUCUUUAACUUUCAUUCAAAGGAGAAGAAAGAGGUUUGCGACUUUAUUGACAAGGUUAAUAUCUGUCGUCUUUGAUUAAAAGCUUUUUGUUUCAUCUUAUUCAUUCAUCUUUAUGCUAGGUUGCCGACAAACACCGUCGCUUGUGUGAAGAGAGGCAGCGGCUAGGCCUCAAAAGGCAAACACUCGAGGCUCGCAUUGCUCGGGUGGAGAGGAAGAUACGGGCUUUGGAAAGUGACCCCUUUCAAUGGGAAUGGCAGAACUUCGAUUCUGUUGCUGAGAUCCCGAAGAUGCUUCAGAUGUAUCUCCGUGCUAGAGGAGUUCCGGGUCCUGUGAAUGCUCCGGUCCAUACCGUUCCAUCUGGUAGCGAGGAAGAAGACAAAGAGGAGGCCAGCACCAGUCGGAAACGCGUUCGGGAUUGUUCCGAGGUGGACGCCAAGAACAAGGCGUCCACUUCGAAAACUAAAACGGCGAUGAAGGAGCCUGUUCCUGAGCCUCUUCCAUAAAUUUUCUCUAACCUUUCCACUCACUUUGAACUCAUAAUGGGCUUCGGCCCUUUUUUAUUUAUGGAAACAUUUGCAACUUUCCUUUCUCUUCAAAUAUUCUCGGAGAUACGUCUUUUAAUGCAGGAUUGGUUUAAGGGCAUAAAUCUCGCCGCGAAUCACUCCAUUUCCGGGCUGAAUCUGCUGCUUGCUAGGGAUAUGAAGUCACUAUAAAUUACAGCUUCAACUUCCCUUUACUUCUCACUAUUCUUCUUACUUCUGCAGAUAUGGAUUUUAACCUUCGAUGUUCGGAGUCUAUGCCGGACUUCUCUUGGAUCGGAAUGAUGGACGAAGAUGUUCCAGAUGUUCCAAGUAGACGAUCUUCUCCACUUCGCGGCUUUUUCAGAUCUCAGAUCCGAGCUCCAUGCGCUUUGAUCAAGAACCUUCCAGAUAGAGACCGGGAGAUUGCGAUGGCCUUUAUCAAAGCGCUCGCAAUUCAACACAGGAAGCUAUCGCUGGAAAAGAAAAAACUUCGGAAGAAGAUUUAUCGAAUGCAGCGCAGAGUCACUGCGAUAUCAAGGGAUCUUCACAUCCUUAGUUCUCAUCCCGGAGAGUGGAUUGAGCUCGGAAUCUCCGAAUUUGCUCGUAUCCCGGAUUGUAUGAUGCCAGUUCUUGAUCUUGCUGGUCAAGGAGUUCAAGUGUUCUGCUCUCCGGGAGGGUUUUCCUAACUCGAAGUGUGCGAAGAUCGACACUUUGUCUUGUUCGUUUGAAUAAAUGUUUUGCUUCCAAUCUCUUGUAUGUUCGCAUAGCCGAACCUUUACUUGCUUCAAUUGUUCGCUCGGUCGAACCCUUUCCUUUAAUACAGAAAUAAAACAAAUUUUUAUUAAUAGCUGAACUCGUUUCCGAGCUGCCUACGUACCCAUUUCGGGAUCAAGCCACACCGUAGUUCAUGUAUAUAAAAAAUGCAUGUAGCUUUAAACAUAAAACUUCUUUAGGUUGAUCACAUUCCAAGGUCGCUUGACUGGCAUGUCUUCUAAGUCUUUCAAUCUAUAAACACCGUUCCGAACCACUUCGGUAAUAAUGUAAGGUCCUUCCCAAUUAAUACCGAGUUUACCGGCACCUUCUUCUUUUUUGUUAUCAAAGACACGCCUUAACACAUAAUCUCCCACGAAGAACGGCCUACUUUUAACUUUAGAAUUGUAAUAUCGGGCUGCUGCCUGCUGGUAAUUCUGAAUCCGAAUCAAAGCUUGAUCACGCCUUUCAUUUAUGGUAUCUAGUGAAUCAUUAAGCAUUGCUGAAUUUUCUUCCUUAUUUAAUGGUGCUUCUGUUCGGCGAAGUCUGGGCACGUUGAGUUCAGCUGGUACUACUGCCUCCAUGCCAUAAACCAAAGAGAAUGGAGUUUCUCCGGUAGGUCGCCUAGGGGUUGUACGAUAGGCCCAUAGGACGGGUUGGAGUUCUUCGUACCAUCCUCCCUUUAGGUGAUUCAAACGUUUCUUGAGAUUGCUCAAUAUCGUCUUGUUCGCGGCUUCAGCUUGACCGUUUCCUUGCGGAUAUCGUGGAGUAGAGUAACUGACUUUGAUUCCCCAGUCCGCACAAAAAGCAUCAAACUCUUGUGAAAUGAAUUGUGGCCCGUUAUCGGUGACUAUUUCAUACGGAACUCCAUGUCGACAUAUAAUAUUCUUCCAAAUGAAAGUCUUUACCGCCGAAUCCUUGAUGCCAACAUAUGCCUCAGCUUCAAUCCAUUUCGAAAAGUAGUCCGUCAAGACCAAAAGGUAUUGUACACCUCGAGUUGAUAUGUGCAAUGGUCCAAUGAUGUCCAUUGACCACCUCAUAACGGGUACGAGGCGGAGAUGGAAGAGAAUAACUCCGAAGGUUGAUGGAUCAAUGGUGCAUGGAGUUGGCAGCGCUUACAUCUUUGGGCAAAUUUAACGCAAUCCGUGAUCAUAGUGGGCCAAUAGUAUCCCAUUCUUUUAACUUUAAAAGCCAUAGCUCUUCCUGAUGAAUGACUCCCACAUAAUCCUUCAUGCACUUCGCUCAUGACGAUUUCGACUUCGGGCCCAAAAAUGCAUAAUAGGUAAGGGUCACUGACACCUCGUUUAUAUAACGCAUCCUUUGAUAGACAAAAUUUCGCGCUAACGAUUUUCAUUUUCCUGGCCUGCCACUUAUUCUUUGGGAGCUCGCCUGUCAUGAUGUAGUGCUUUAUUGGCUCCCUCCAGUCAGCCCCCCAGUCUUUAGCCGGAAUUUGGUCAACCUUGUGAAAUACUCGUGGCUCUGGCUCGGGAUGUUCGUUUGGUUCAAGAACAUCCUCCUCGAUUAACAGCUCGGUUUCUAAUAUCGUUUCUGGAAUCACAUCUUCUGCUAAGACAACGGGUUCCUUGUUAGAUGUGUUUGAUCCCUUUGACUUCCUCCGUUUGUUAGGUGGCGGUUCGAUCUCUGGUUCGCCACGGUCACGUGCCGCUGCUCGAGACCUUGUAAUGACGAGGGUUUCUUUGUUGUCUUGAAUGCUUCGCUCCGAAAUGCAUUCCACUGGAAUAACUCUUUUCAACUCAGGAUCUGAUGUUGACGCCAAUGCGGCAAUUACGUCCGCAGUUGUAUUCUCACCCCGAGGUAUGCGGAUUAAUUCGAAUUUCGAGAAAUUUUUAGAUAGAUCCUUCACCACUUCGAGGUAUGCUUCCAUUCUUGAGUCUUUGGCUUCAUAGUCUCCAUUAAACUGAUUAACUACUAAUUGCGAAUCACAAUAAGCCACUAUUUCCUUAGCUCCAACUCCUUGUGCCAAUCGAAGUCCGGCAAUCAGGGCUUCAUAUUCUGCCUCAUUAUUGGAGGCAUUGAAUAACAAUCGGAAUGACUGUUCUAGAAUUUCUGAUGUUGGAGACUCCAACUUGAUUCCCACUCCGGAUCCUUGCUUUGUUGAAGACCCAUCUACAUGUAAUUUCCAAGUUUGGUUCUCCGGUUGCUCUAUCGUUCCAGGUAUUGGUAUCUCGGUCAAGAAGUCUACUAAAACCUGAGCCUUCAUACUGAUCCGGCUUUUGAAUUCUAUAUCGUACUCGCUUAAUUCCACCGCCCAUUUCGCUAAACGUCCGGACUGACUUGGACUAUGAAGUAUUGUUCGGAGUGGCUGGUUGGUUAAUACUUCAACCGGAUGGGAUUGAAAAUAUGGGCGCAGCUUCCGAGCCGAAGUUACCACCGCGAGUGCGAGUUUUUCCAUCAUUGUGUAUCUGGUUUCCGGAUCUAUCAUUGACUUACUUACGUAAUAAAUUGGUUUUUGUUUCCCGCGGUCCUCCCGAACCAAGACUCCACUAACCGCAUGGUUUGAAACCGACACGUACAAAUAAAGUUUUUCAUCCGCUUCUGGUUUGGAGAGUAUCGGUGGAGUGGUUAAGUAUGCCUUAAGCUGCCCAAAAGCUUCUUCACACUUCUCGUCCCAAAGGAAUCCUUUGUUUCCUUUUAGAAUUUGGUAGAAAGGUAACGACUUAUCUGUUGAUCUUGAGAUAAAACGAUUCAAAGCCGCGAUCCGCCCAGUCAACCGUUGUACUUCCUUGAAGUUUCUUGGAGAUGGCAUAUUUAGAAAAGCGUUAAUUUGAUUUGGAUUGGCUUCAAUCCCUCUUUCUGUCACAAUAUAGCCAAGAAAUUCUCCGGAUGGGACUCCGAAUGUGCACUUCGCCGGGUUCAGCUUCAUUUGAUAUUUAUUGAGAAUAUCAAAACAUUCCUCUAAAUGCUUAAUGUGAUCUUCUUUCUUUAAUGAUUUAACCAACAUAUCAUCUAUGUAGACUUCCAUGGUCUUCCCGAGAUGAUUAUGGAACAUUUUGUUAACUAACCGUUGAUAAGUUGCUCCUACAUUUUUCAAACCAAAAGGCAUUACCUUGUAACAAUAGAUACCUCUAUCAGUGAUAAAUGACGUUUUUUCUUGGUCUUCGGGGUUCAUCAUUAUUUGAUUAUAACCCGAGAAGGCGUCCAUGAAUGUUAACAGCUCGUUCCCAGCGGUGGACUCUACAAGUCGAUCUAUAUGUGGGAGCGGGAAACUGUCUUUGGGACAUGCUUUAUUGAGGUCUGUGAAGUCGAUGCAAACCCUAUCUUUCCCAUUCUUCUUCUUGACAACGACAGUGUUUGCUACCCAUUCCGGAUAUUGCACUUCUCUUAUGGACCCUAUCUUCAAAAGUUUAUCCACUUCGUCAUUUACUAUUUUUGCUCGCUCCACUCCAAGCUUUCUUCUUUUUUUGUUUCACCGGUAUGAAGCUCGGAUCCACGUUUAGUUCAUGACAAAUUAUACUUGGAUUUAUGCCAGGCAUGUCCGCUGCUGACCACGCAAACGAUGUUUUGUUUUUCCUCAAGAGUUCGAUCAAAGCUUCUUUUAUUUGGCCAGUCAAAGUUGCCCCAAUUCGAAUUUUCCGGUCCGGCUUGUCUUCUUCCAACACCACUUCGAUUACUACAUCGUCUUUCUUCUGCCCGCUAGGAAAUUUUGUUCCUAGUCCCUCUUUUGCGGGCUUCGUUAAUUGCUAUUGAAUCUUCAUACGGUGGCUAGCUAGAUAACACGUCCGUGAAGCUUCUUGAUCUCCCCGAAUUGUUUCCACUCCUCUUGGUGUUGGAAAUUUGAUACAUUGAUGAUAUGUAGAGGGGACUGCUUUCAUUUGAUAAAUCCAGGGAGUCCCGAGGAUGAUGUUGUAAGCUGCGGGCUUAUCGAAGACAACGAAGUCCACGAUCUUCGAUACCUUUUUGGCAAGGACCGGUAGCUUGAUUGUCCCGAGAGACAUGGCUGACUCACUUGUGAAUGCAACUAAUACAGCCGGAGGCCCCACUAUGUCCGCCCGACUAAUUCCCAUUCUUUCUAAAGUACUUAAAAAGAUCAAGUCGACCGAACUGCCUGUAUCUAUAAGGAUCCUUGAUACUUCGAAGUUGGCAACGUCAAGGGUAAUGACUAGAGCAUCAUCAUGAGGUCUUUCGAGGUGCCGCGUUUCUUCUUCAUUAAAUGAUAUUGAUGCACCUUGAAAAUCGACUUCUUCGCUCAAGCUUGCUUUGAGUAGGACAUUUCGUCUAUGUUUCUUGAUGGAACUUAUCCAAUCUCGACAAAAUUUGGAACCUCCUAGAAUAACAUUGAUCUUACCCUUAGAAUUCCUUGGUUCUUCCUCGUUGGUUAACCUUGGUCUUUUGGAAUUUUGAUCUUUGGGAUUUUCCUUUGCUUCGUGGUAUUCCUUCACAAAAUCUUUUAUAUCGAAUUUGGAAAGAUCUCCACUGGCCCAAAGCUCUGCGAGGUGCCUUUUAAGAACGCUACAAUCCUUGGUUAAAUGUCCGGUCACUUUAUGAAUGUCGCAAUAUAAACUUUCAUCACGGACCCAAGUGUUUGAUCUUCCUUUCCCUUGGAAUUGCUUUCUGAUGGUACUGUUGAAGGGUUGCGACCCAAAUUUCUUUGGUCCUUUGUUCUUUUUUGGGUUCGAACUUCUUGGUAGGGACGGUGAUUGCUGGCUUCUCUUGCUUAUUUCUUUUGGCGAAAUUUUCUUUUUCGUCCUCUACCUCCAUCCAGUUGUUUGCGCGGAAGAGUGCAUCCUGAAUUAUGUCUGGUUUAUGAAGUAUUAAAUCUUCUUUAAAUCUUGAAUCAUGUCGCAAUCCUUUUCGUAAGGCAGAUAAAGCUGAUUGUUGUGAGAUUCUUGGGAGCUUUGACAGCACUCCUUUGAACUUGGUGAUGAAAACUCGAAGUGAUUCAUUUGAUCCUUGUGAUAAGUUCCAAAGAUCGGCAUCCGAAACACUUUUAUCCAUAAGGACUUUAAGAAUACAGCUGAUAGCUCGUCGAAAUUGCUGAUCGAACCUGGCUCUAAUUGGGUGAACCACAUUAAAGCUUGGCCGCAUAGAUUUUCCGAAAAAGCUUGCAGUAACCUGCAUCCUCAUCAGCUUCAUCCAAUUCGACUCUUCCAGCAGCGAUCAGAAAAGCUGCGAGAUAGCUCUUUGGAUCCUCCAUUCCGCUGUAAGGGUCCAACUUGAGCUUCCGGGAAUCUUUGAUUCUCAAACUCGCAAUUCUCGAGAUGAAAGGUGUUCGCCUAGCUUCUUCAAUGACUCGAUUGAUAUCCGGCUCCGAACUUGUAGCCUGAUGGAAUUUUGACUUCAUUUCUUUUAGUUCUUGGCUAACCUUCCUCACAGUCUCGAACUGGUCGAGGUUUUCCUGCUCGUAUUGAUCUGCAAGUUGAGCUUCAUCUUCGAGCUGUGCCUCUCCAUCCAGUGGUUGAACUACAUUAUUAGUAGUACCAGGAGUUGUUUGUCCGCUGGUUUCAUUUCGCGCAACGGAACUUGGCGAGUUGAGUAUCCUCCUUCGGAUUCCCACAGGAUUUCCUGCACUUAAAGAGCGAAUACGAGUUUGUAUAGUAUUGACAUUUUGACUAAGAGAUACCUGGGAUGUUUGCAACGUAUCGACGGCCUUUUCCACAUCCGAGAACUUUUGUGAUAUGUCCGACAUGGUUUGCUGCAUAGCUUUGAGGGUUUCGGCCAAUGAUGUCUCACCGGCGUCUCCUCCGGACAUUGCUGCUUAUCUCGGGAAUGUAGUAAAGAAAAAUCUGACCACUCAAGAAUCCUCGAUUCCCCACAGACGGCGCCAAAAUGUGGAUGUCGGAUUCACACACUCAAGUAUUUUUAUUAAGUAGGAAAGAUUAUUCUUGAGGGACAAAAAAUAAGAAUGCAAAAGGCUUGUGAAUUGUUACAAAAAUUGCUAUAGUAUUUCUUGCUCGAGAGAGAGAUCCCCUUUACAUGGCCAUUGGCCUCUAUACUUAUACAUAGAAAAAUGACAUUUAAAUGGCUAAUUAAGUACAAUUAUUCUCUCUUAAAUGUGUCCGUUUUGAUUCUUUGACUUUAAUGCUCAACGUUUGAAUUUGAGUUGACUCUGGUCUUUAUGGGCCUCGCCUUUUGGCCCAAGUGUCCUUGGACCGACUUAACCAUGACUUCGUCUCCGGACUCGUAUCGAGGUGCAAUCACUUCGAAUUCUCCUUAUGGUGGUAACCACUUCGAUUGUUCUUUUGACUUGUGGGUCUAGUGGGCUUUAUCCUUAAUGGGCCAUUACCCCGACUACGUGGCAAUCUUUGGUUGGUCCUGGACCUCUGGUGCGGGAUCCGACACCAACAACCCACCUCCACGGGUGUUAUCUCAGUAAUUAAGUCACUUUUAAGGUAUAUUUGAGCACAUUUUCGACUUUACUUUCAUGAAUUAUGAUGCAAAAGAGUAUCACUCAUUGUUACGAAAGCAUCCUAACAUUCACUAUCUCAACAUAGCCGAAAAUAUAAGAAUACACACUAAUAUAAAUAAAAAUUAAGACAAUAGAGAAAUAUAUUACGAGAGAGAUAUAGAUGAGAAAACUAUUCUAUAGUAAUAAUAAAAAGUAAAGAUGAAUUAAAAUUUUAAUAAAUUACAACGAAAAUAAAAUAAUAAAUAAAUGUAUAUAAGUAAACAAUAAAAUUAGUAUCAUAUAUGUUUUCUAUAUUGAAAUGUUAGGUACAAUUUCACAUGAAAUUUUUCACAAUGUACACUAAAGAAUUUAAAAUAAAUUAUUUAGUUAACAAAUUUUAAAAUAUCAAAUGUCAAAUAUACCGGAGGUAGCUCGGUUUCGUCCCAACUCCCAAGUACAAAUAAGAGAAGAAUAAGUAAUUAUAAAACUCUACUAUAAGUAGUCUUUCUCUCUGCUCAUUUACUCUCCCCUCUCUCUUUAUUUUUCUUGUUUCUUUCCAACAAAAUAUUACGUACACAUAUACACUACACACAUAUAUAUAUAUAUAUAUAUUUAUUACAUUAUUAUUUAUAAUAAGGAAAAAUUCCCAAAAAAAACCUCAUUUAUUUUUUAUUUGGACGUUUAAUACCUAAUUGUUUUUGGUUGGAAGAAAAAUACACAUAUUAAUAAAUCCGUGCGAUUUAAUACCCAAACAAUUAAAUGUUUUUAUUUUCAUACUCACGGUCUCACAACAAAAAUAAAAUUCUAAUUUUACCCUUACCAUCUCAAUUAAUUAUUAACUUUUAGAAGAUAUGACAAUAGUUUUUCUAUUUAAAUAAAAAUUAAUUUUAUUAUUAUUUCAUUUCUUUUUUUAUCCCAAAAAAAUUGAAAAUAAUUUUCAGUUUAUUUUACAAAUAUUUAAUUUUAAAAAUUAAAAUAAAAUUAAUUAGCAAAAAAAUUAAAAAAUUUUAAAAAUAGCCAUUUUUAUGAAUUUAUAAAUCUUGAGAAAGACGAUGAGAUUCGGAUUGAGAUUUUGUCGAAAAUAGUUUCAUUCAUGAAGGAUUUAUAUUCGAAUAGGGAGUUUCUCACGACGAAGAAAAAGUUCAUAUCGAUGCUCGUUGAUAUCAUAUGCAUCACGACGAAUAAAAUCAAAUUAGUUUUAUUGGUGAUGAAGAUUUUGGAUACGAUUAAAAAGAGAUCUUGAACGGUUAUCGAAUUUGAUGGUUGCAAAAGAUGACGACGGAGAUUGUUUACCGGCGAUCCUCAUAGAGAUUAAUCGAGAAAAUUUAGAAUCGAAGAGGAAACGUCUCUUUGACAUUGCAAAGACGGAAUAAGAUUGUACAAAUGACUAUUUUUAAUAUUUUUGAUUUUCUGCUAAUUUUUAUGUUUAAUUCAUUCGACGUCAGAGGGAAUGACUCGUAGCUAGGGUCCCAUCUCUCUUCGAUUAUUCAAUUUGAGACUAAAAAAAGUGUGAAUAUGUACAGUCUCUCGUGAGGCCGCUUACUCGUCAAUUGAGUCUGUAAUAGCGGACGAUUCUAUCAAACCCUAAAGUAGAAGAAAAAGUAAUUUUUUGUUGUCGUGACGCUUUGGUUAGGCCGACAAAUAUUCCGGGAAGAAAUAUAGAUAGAAUUUUUCUCAAUAAAGGGAAGAUUCCUUUGAACAAAUCCUAGUUAGUUAGCUUGGCACUGCCCGUUUACGAUGCAACUAUCGAAAGCCAUUUGCACCAGGUUUAUAAAGACUGGUUCGAAAGGAGACGUCCCCCCCCCCCAUGCUACGGUUCCCUGCGGUCUUCAUAUUGUUACAAAUGAACUCGUAGGCUCUUCCUGCGCUCUGGAAGAAGGUGUCCCAGUCCGUAGGGGCACUUUCAAUCAACCCAGAAGGGAUAAUAAUAUCUUGCGGUCAGUCUAUGUAUAUCUUCUUGUUCCCUGUUCCCUUUAUCAGCUCUUUACCAACUAUCCGUCAUGGAAAGAUAUCGACGCAAUACAAAGGUUGCCCAUCUCCCAUUUAAUCGGAACGGAAGUCAGAAAUCUAAUAUUUGUACGAGCAAGUUUUUGUAUCAGGAAAGAGGCAAGGACAGUCAGUUGGUAAGAAAGUAAUCCCUUCCAGAGUUGUAAGAUUAGUAAGCUUUUCCCGGCUACUGACAGGAAAGGAUGGCUUUAGAUUCUUUGCUUGCCCAUACGCCGAUCCUAUUAGCUGACUAGUACCCGUGGCUGCCUGCCUGGUGGGGGGCGGCUCCUCCGUUGUGGGUAAAUGGGAAACCCGACUCUACGAACGUUCAUGAGACUGCAGCGGAGUGGAGCAGCCACGACACUCUUUUUCCUUAGCUGGAUCUCCCUGGUGCCACAGGUGCUAUAGAGACAUGAGCGAGAUCCAGCUGACGCUAUGCAUACACUGAAACAAGGCAGCUAUGCACACUAACUCAUACCUUAUUUUUAUAACGUGUUAAAAAGAGGACAUCAUAACUCAUAUGAUGGAUCAAUCAAAUCCUAGGAGAAAUGUCAAAGCAGAAGAUCAAUCAAAGGAAAACCACUCAAUUCAUUUUCAUUACUUACAUUUCCCCCGAAUUACUUUCGGCUUCUGGUCUAAGAGAGUCCUGUAAGGCACCACCCUGUUGUGCCAGCAGCCAACUCCGGCGUGUCAGCUUAGUUUAUUCACUAUCUGAAACUUAGCACUUGUUUGAUUUUUUUAAGAUAAAAUAAUUAUAUAAUUUUUUUUUUAUUUUUAGGCAACAUAAGUAAAACAUUAGUAAAAUUAAUUUUUAUUUAAAUAAAAAACUAAUGCCAUGUCAUCUAAAAGUUAAUAAUUAAUUGAAAUGGUAAGGGUAAAAUUGGAAUAUUCUUUUUGUUGUGAGUUCGUGAGUAUGAAAAUAACAAUAUUUAAUUAUUUGGAUAUUAAAUCGUACCGUUUAAUUAAUAUAUGUAUUUUUCUUCCAACCAAAAACAAUUGGGUAUUAAACGUCCAAAUAAAAAAUUAAUGAGAUUUUUUUUUGGAAUUUUCCCUUUAUAAUAAAUACAUUUCUCUUUUGUUUUGUUCUAUUUUCAGUAUAUCCCGAUAUUGCACAAUUACUUAUAUUUAUUUUUAUAGUAAACUAUUAAUUACUUCAAGAAACAAUUAAUUUUUGAAAAAAAAAAAGGAUAAGUGAGUAAAAACUGUUUUUGCUUGGAAAGGUUGAGAUUCUGAUUUUGACUUGAAAUUCUGUUGUUGAGCCGCGUGAGCCUCACGGACUCAAAAACCCAUCCUUUCCUUUAUAAACCCAAUCUUCUUCGUGAGAGAGUGUCAGUGAGAGAGAAGAAGACGAGAAUGGGGCACGCCACGACUCUCUCUCACUUCCUCAUCCUCUCUUCCUCCAGGCUCUCUCGUCUCGGGUCUCGCACUAGAUUCCUCACAAAACCCACUCCUCUCUCCGGCUCUUUUUCUCCCUUUCCGGUCACCGGACAAGGGUUCCGAUGCUGUUGCUCCGCCGCCACAGAAGACCCUUCUCCUUCUGUAAAGUAAAAACCUUGCCUUUACCUACUUCUAGUUGCAAUUACUUAGGUCUGAGAUCUCUCUGUUGAAUUUUGAUUCUCCUGAUGACAGGAAACGCGUGGUCUCUGGUGUCCAGCCUACAGGUUCAAUUCACUUAGGAAACUAUCUCGGUGCUAUCAAAAAUUGGGUCGCUCUUCAGGUUCUUUCUCAUUUCUAGUUAGUCAAUAAGCAUUAGCAUUUGCAACAUUCAUCAGUUUAGAUCCUUUGUUGUAAAGUUGAAGGCUUUAAGAAAUGGAUUCAAUUUGUUGUAAAGUUAAAAGGCUUUGUAGUUAAAAAAAACAGUGUGUUUCUGGUUUCUAUUGGCUUCCUCAUUCACCAAUGUAUGAGACAUUUGCAAAAUUAAUCACUUUUUUUAUAACGGUUUGUUGUAAAGGAUUCAGUUUUAUAUUUUCUGGUUGCUACAAAAUUUUAUCUUUUUGUGUUUAUAUUUUUGCAGGAUACAUAUGAAACACUCUUUAUCAUCGUAGACUGUCACGCGGUAUGAAUUAUCUACCUUUGAAAUGUUUGUUUGAGUGAUAUUUCUCUCGCCGUGUUUAUUUAUAUCUUUUGCUUGAUCUAUGUAGAUAACACUUCCAUAUGAUACACAUCAACUAGGAAAGGCAACUACGGAUACCGCAGCACUUUAUCUAGCAUGUGGUAUAGACGUUUCUAAGGCUUCGGUAUUUGUGCAAUCUCACGUCCCCGCUCAUGCGCAGUUAAUGUGGCUUUUAUCUGCAUCCACGCCUAUUGGUUGGUUAAAGAAAAUGACUCAAUUUAAAGAGAAAUCACGCAAGGAGGUGCGUAUAUGGUUGCUUCAUGGUCUUAUCACAUUAUUCUCUUUCAUUAUUAUGUGCUUCAAAUAAACAAAAAAGGGAAAAAUCUGCCUAAUACUUUUAAGUUUUGUUAUUGAUUUCUUUGUGUUACUAGUUAGAUAACAUAUGUAAUCUUCUAAUGUAUUGGACAUAAGAACAGCAUAGUCAACUUAGUCUUUUUGCUGCAUAAACCUGAUGAUAAUAAUAAUUGCAUAGUUGUGUCUAUUAUGAGACUGUAUACAUUUAGAAUUCUGUUUACUGAUUCCAUUUUCGUUCUUUUUUGGCAGGGGGCUGAGGAUGCUAGUGUCGCUUUGUUUACUUAUCCUGAUCUGAUGACUGCUGAUAUCCUCUUGUAUCAGGUGAUACUUUAAAGUAGUUAAGUGUGCUGCAAUUAUUGUAUAAUCUUAUAUAGCUGAGCUCAUGUAAGAUUAUUCGGUGAUCUUAUUUGGGGUUGUUUCGCUGUCCUGUUAAAAAUUGCAUGUAAAAUACCUGCUGAUUGCACGCAGGAUGACCAUUUUUCUGAAUUGUUUGGUUCUCUGUCACAUGCCUCUGCAGUCUGAUUUUGUCCCUGUUGGCGAGGACCAGAAGCAGCACAUAGAACUUGCCCGUGAAAUCGCUCAGCGUGUGAAUCAUUUAUAUGGUGGAAGAAAGUGGAAGAAGCUUGGAGGGUAUAGAACUUUUUUUUGUGCAUUUUAGUAUGUUAAGUAUAUACCAUUAAAACAAGUCCUUAUGAUCUGUGCUUUUCAUGUUUCGUAAUGGCUUAAUUUCCCCUUCAUUUGUAUCCCCUCAUCCGUACAACAUUGUCGAUUUUCAUUUCCAGGCGCGGUGGUUCGCUCUUUAAGGUGAGACUUUCCAAUUGCUUUGCCUAUCCUCAUUGUGUGGCUUUCUAGGUUUGUCAGAGAUGGUUAAUCGUUCUAUAAAUUUAUCCUCUUUGUAGAUACCAGAACCACUCAUACCACAAGCUGGAGCCCGUGUUAUGUCUCUUACCGAUGGUCUUUCCAAGGUAUAAUGUUUUCAUUCACAGCUACUUUAAGGUUUCUUGUAAAUUAAUUUUCUUUCUGCAUUCAGCAGUUGCAUCACAAUUGGUCUUAUAUAAAUAAAAUUUUAGAGAAGAUGAAUAGCGUUCACAAAUCCUAUUAGAAAUAUAUUGAGUUAAUCUUUAAUAUUCUUUAACAUCGAAUAGACUUUUACUACUGGCUAGUCUGUUUCUUUCUAGUAUCCCUAAUUGGUCUGGUUAGAUCUUUCCAUCCGUUUGUAAGACCAUAUUGAACUAAUCCAAUUUUUGGGCUUGCUUAUUGUUAUUCUCAAAUGGUACUGAGGAAUUUCCUACUUGUCGCUGUCGCCUCACUGUCUUGUAAAUCUUGUAGAUGUCCAAGUCCGCACCUUCUGAUCAAUCCCGGAUCAAUCUCCUUGACUCAAAAGAUGUAAGUAAAAUGAACUCACUGAUGUUUGUAAGGCUUUUGAAAUAUCAAUUUUUUCAUGUUCGUUGUACGUGUUCUUGUUCUGCUACUUAAAUCCAUUUCUCAUUCCUCCUUAAAAUUGUGUAGCUGAUUGUGGACAAGAUAAAACGGUGCAAGACAGACUCAUUUGCAGGGUGAGUGCUAAUUAUGUCGCUUUCCCCCUCGCAAUGCACAAGUUUUUUUUUUCUUUUUCUUGUUACCAUUUUAGCUUUCAAAUUGAGAUAUCAAAUACUGAAAGCUUCUGCUCCUUGUUCCAACAGCCUUGAAUUUGACAAUGCUGAGAGACCUGAAUGCAACAAUCUCCUCUCAGUAUAUCAGAUUGUUUCCGGCAAGACGAAAGAGGUAUGGAGAAAGAGAUAAUGGUUUGUCUCUAAAGAUUUGGGUCACAGAGAUGCUUUCACAUGUCACUUACUCCCUCGGCCACAAUAGUUACUUAAAAUAUAAUCCGGUGAACACUUUUUUAAUCGAUUGCAGGAAGUAACGGAGGAAUGCAAAGAUAUGAGCUGGGGUACAUUUAAGCCUCUCCUUGCAGAUGCUUUGAUCGAACAUUUGAGUCCUAUCCAGGUCUGUGAAGUCAAAAGUUUGAAUCAAUAUACAUUUCUUUGAGUGCGUCAGUUCCAUUUCAUCGAUGUUUUUGCAGUUUCCAUAAGUAAAAUGGCUAGAAGGGCAUUUUUCAUGUGCAUAAGUUAAUGUGAUACAGAAUUUGAUUUCGUAUAUGUUUUUUGUGUCAGGCCCGUUAUCAGGAGAUAAUAGCGGAACCAGCGUAUUUGGACAAAGUAUUGUCAGAAGGCGCGGAUAGAGCUGCGGAAUUAGGAGAUGUCACAAUGCGCAAUAUGCACCAAGCUAUGGGAUUCUAUCAGAGGAGGAGAUAGUGCCACUAUUAAGGUCGGCGUUUUUGAAAUUAUAAAAGAAAAAAUGAGUAGAGUUACAUUUGCGAAAUAUUUAUUGAUUCUUGAGGUAUUAUUAUUAUUUUUGCAAUAAUUUUGAUCCAUCUUGUUCUAAACAGAUAGGUGCAUUCACUAUGUAUCCACUUUGCGUUAAGACUUCUUGCACAAUCAUUAACCAAUUCAAUGGAAAUUAAAUAUGCUGAAUUAGCUGUGUUCAGUUUCAACAUCAUAGUAAGAAAUCCAGUGAUCAAUUCAAUUACCUUAGUAACAGUUACUUGCAUAAACCAGAGAUCGAAAAAGUCAUCGUAAUCCAUAGAUAAACUUUUUCUAUCUCUCAACUCUUUUCACAAACCUCAAGCAAACUUUAGUAAUUAAAAUCUAGCAGCAACAAGAAAACAGGAGAUGAUUUUAUGUACAUAAUCAUAUAACAUUGAAAGAUCCCAAAUCUCAAAGCAUAUAAAAUACAGAAACAAGUCUGAAAUAACCAGAAUAGGCAGACAGAUACAUUACACUUGCCUUGUUCUAUGGUUAUCUCACUGGUUUCUUCUUUUUAAUUUUGUAUCUCUCUUAUUGAACUAGCACAGCUCCACAUUUCACCUGGAGCAUAUAUUGUCGAACAAUGCAUGUCUCGUCCCAAACUCAGUUAUUCAUACUCAUUCUUCCCAGAGUUUGGAUGGAUACUCACAAUCCCACCAAGAAUCCAACAAGUAAAUCAUUUGAAAGUUAUUAUCUUUAUUCUUUUCUUCUAUCUUUUUUUUUUUUUGGAUUUUUUAGAACUUUUUUUUACCUUUAUAAGCUUUUAGUUUUCAUAUUUAGGUGAACUUACCAAUAGUGUCGAGUUCUGAAGCUGUCAUCCAAAGCAAACACUAGGUUGCUUGAUUCUUGUUAUUUAUUUUUGUGUUUUCUUUUUACUUUUUACUUUUUCCUUUGUUCUUCCGGUUCUCAUUAGAAUUGCGGAGACCUCGCUCACACUAUGGACUUCAAGCUCAACCUCCUGCUGCUAUAAAAAGUACCAAGAAAACCAAAACAAGAGCAUAAAGAGAUCAUGAUUGGCAAAAAAAGCAGUAAUGGGUUGCAAAAACACAUACCUCAUCAUUGCAUUCUGCAAAGAUUCUGACCUAGCUCCAUCGUCCAGCUUCCCCAUCCCGCUGAGCAAAGGAUUUGACUAAGACACAAAUAAAAUAUACAAGGAGACAAGUCAGAAGUGAUCUGGAAAGAGAAAAGAACCUAGUUUCAAAAAGUAUGAAAUAAUACAGAAUAAAGAAUGGCAGUGCAGGACCUGUCAAUGAAAACUGAUGGAAAUAUUUCAGAAAAAGAUGGAGAACAUAAAAUUGAUCACUUAAGUAGCACAACAUUCUAAUUUCAGCUUGUUAUCUCAUAUUUUUUGAUUCAAAAAAUAAAGCACAAGAUCACCCUUCAAUAUGUCAUGCAGUGAGUGUGAAUUAAAAACCUGAAGUUCUUCUGACAAGCCACUUUUGAACAAUCUGUCUGCAUGCAAGUUUCUAUGUUCCACAGCUGAAUCCAAAUUUGCAGGAGUCAAAAAACCCUGUAACAACCCAUGAUCACUAACAACCCAGUACGUUCAAGACAUUUCGCCAAUUCGUUUACAAUAUUAUCAUCGAACAGCAAAAACUCACCUCAUGAUCAAGGUUCCGCCCACAGUAUCCAUUCCACAAAACACCAUCAGCAAUUUCUCCCGACUUGGCUUCCCUCUCAACUUCAUCAACAUCUUCUUUUACAUUAAGUCGCCUUGGAAGAUGUUGUGUGGCAGUGUCAUUAAUAGAUUCAGAGCCCAUAUCACGACCUAUUUCUUUAUUCUGCCAACCUUCACAUGCUAGCACAGCACGAGGGUCAGGUCUCACAUGUUUUCCUACAGGCUCAGCCAGACCAUGAUAACCUUGAACUAGAGCCCUACUAUCUACUUCCAGGAUUUGCUCGCAACCGGAGUUAUGCUCAUAUUGAGAAAAUUUUAUGAGUUCCGUGCUUUUACGGAUAAAUUUUUCAGCCUCGACUUCCACGUUAGGAAGACUUCUAACAUUGCAAACAAGAUCACCAGUUACUAAGCAUUCAGCUCUAGGACCUGGCGCAAUGCCAAUCUGAGGAGUCUCACCAGUAGUGAUACCACUGCUGACAGGAGAAACUGCAUCCAGACUAUGUGGACUACGAGAUGCACGCUUCUCACGUUUCUCUGGCCGGGUAUCCAUAGUUUCAUUAUCAUUCUUUCUCUUCGCAUAUCCAUCAACAGAGUCGGACAAAGAACCAACGACCCCCUCACCAGGUUCUCUGCAUUGUUGAUUCUGGUGCCUUGACUGCCGAGGCCUUUUAUAUCCCUUUGGGAAAACAAAAGAUGGAAGCUGCCGUCUUCGAACAUGAGAAACAUACACAUCCAUCCCAGGUCUCCAAAACAUAUACAUGUUUACUUCUUGCCUGAACUCGUCCACUGUUCCACGUAUAUCGAACUGUUGACAUUCUUGGCCACCAAAUCCUUCUGCCCUCUGCAAGCCCAUGAAAAAGGCACAAUGUCGAAACUUCUUCGAAGUGUCUACAUACUCAUUUGGUUGAGGGUGGCACAUUAACAUCCCAUUUGUGUCUCGUUCUAUCUGCAUUAUUGGAUUAAAAAAGAGAAGCAGAGAAACCUUAGAUGAUUAUUUAUUCUACCAGUAAAAAAAUUGAAGAACACACUGGAGACACAGAAUGUGUACUCCUCAACAUCAACUGAACUUAAGGCUAUCUACCUUCAAGGUCAAUUGCCUGAACCGUGACUCCACCCAACCUUUCCAUGCCAAUAAAUCUUCGGCAUCUAAUGCUAGUACAUCAACCUGAAGGUAGUUUUUAUAUGCCUCAAAGAACAUAUAUUGCUCAAAUAAGGAACUCCAUUGUUGUUUAUUUAGCUCAAUCUCCUGCAUAUAAAAAAUUACUUAGCAACGGGAUCCUGGGUAAACUUUUCAUAACAAAAUCAGGUGUUAUACUUCCUAACCUGACAGAUCGUGUUGCCAAACUGGAAUUGCUCUGUCAUAACACGAAGUGUGCUUUGAGAGACAUUGUAACUAGAAUUCAUGCAUGGGUAUGCAGGAGUUAUUAUUGGCAUAAGAUGAUAGCGGUCACGAUGAUUUUUCCGUGGGUCCCAGACAGGAAAGCUAAGCUCAUCUUCUUCUAUUGUACAAAGCAUGACUGGAUUCGGCCAGCGCCAUUGUAUAUAUACUCUAAAAAAUCGCGAAACCAACAUACUAGGAAUAGCAUUUGGAUAAAGCUGGCACAGGCGUGCAACCAGAAGUGCCCAGUUUACACCACCAAGAAAUCCAGUAACCUGCUCAAUAUAACAGGGAUUACAAAAGCUUUAACCUAAAAAUAUUGUCAACAGAUGUGAUAUUCAGAAAGACACCACCUUACAUUUGAAUAGACCCCACGCUUCUUAGCCCAGUACUUCAGGCAUCUUAAUGUUGUCCGGAAGUGCUACAUUUGCACAUAACAUAAGAGAUGGCUUACAGGAUUCAUUAGUUUAUAACAAAAAAAAACUGGCAUUCAACGACUUUACCUCGGAAUUUGGAACGAGUUUAAGAAUCUGAUCAGCAACCCUACAACCAUUAAGACUGCGGACAGUUUGUUCAUCCACGUCACACAGCACAGAAGAGUUGGAGAUAUCCAGAUCCUGUUAAUAAAUUGAUUCCAGAAAAUAACAGGAUCUGACUCAGUAAGAAUUUAUAAACUUUGGCGAGAACUCAGCUCAAUACUCAUAUAUAAAUCAAGCCUGACAGCGCUAACACAGCAGUUCUAGAUCUCCAUGUUCACUAAGGCUAACAAUUUCUGUAUAGAAGUUUCUUUGAUAUCUUAACCUUUGGGUGAUGUGUAUAAUACUAUGUGAUCAUCAACAUACAAUACACACACCAAACCCACCAAACGAAAUCCAAGAUAACAUAAAGGUAUCGUGAACCAUCCCCUAAGUUUCAACAGAAACUGAAAAAGGCUAUAUUGAUUACCUGUGGGAUAACUAGAAGUGAUAUGCUAGCAUACAGAAGAUCAAUCGAUAUUCCUUGGAACUUAAAUUUCAUGACUGGGACAUGGGCAUCAGUAACAGGUUGAAGUUCAGUCACUUCUUCCAUUUCAGCCAACAUAUCACGCAAGAUAAUGAAGAAAUCCUCCUAUAAAAUUAACCUGUUAGCAACUAAACUACACACCAGACCUUUACAUCAGUAAGACGUAAUUCAAUAGUUACCUCUCGGUUAACAUAAGAUGGGCCAACACACAAAGUAUCAAUAUCAGCCCUAGGUCCGUGAACCUGCAAGUCAACAACAUAAAAAAAUUUCACCCUCAAAUACAAGUAAUGUAGAGACGAAUACAAUGUUACUUCUCUUGAUUUCAGUGAUAUUCCCAAGGCUCAACAGAAAAUACAUGAUCCAAGUUACCCAUAACCUUUUGCUAAACAGAUAAGAUAAAGUUAAACUAAAACUUAAACUUACUCCAAGGCGGUAAGAUCCAAAAGUGAAAAUGACAGCAUUUGCAUCGUCCACCAUCUGAUCUGUAUAGCCCCUCUGACGAGUUAACUGUUUCACCCAGUGUUUUACAAUCUACACAAAAAGUUUGAAAAAAAAGAUAUGUUAGAUGAGCCAAUAGACAUAGAAGGCCUACACUACAUAAUUAUCAAUUUCCACAUAGAAGUCUUAGCCUAAACACUACGAAAAGAAAAAUGAGAGAACAAGUCUUAGCAUUAUCAUCAUCAUGAGAAGACAGUCAACAAAACACGCUUAUUCACCUGAUCAAUGCGCACCAGAACUUCCUCUCUCCGCAUAGUUUCUUCCUUGCUCUCAUAGAGCCCCUCAUCAACCAGAAACUUCACAAUAAAUCAGCCAAAAACGCAUUGUUCCUAAAAACAAUUUUCCAUUGGAAAUAAAAACACAAAGCUACCUUCUCUAGUUCCAAAUUACGCUUAACAUCAGCGGCACAAGGACCAGCAAUAGAAAGUGGCUUCGUGAUUCCAUAGGUCUUAAGAGCUUUUACCACCGGUGGAGAAGAGCCAUCGUCCGUGCGUUGUUGAGUACUACUCACCAUGACAAAACGCGUAAACAACAGAAAACCCUAGGCGAUAUCUCGAUCUGAUUAAGCACCCAGAUCAUGAGAACUUCGGAAUCAAACAGAAGAGAGUCAUGGCGGAGAUUGAAGAAGGAGAAAGGAGACAAAAGAGGAAAGAAAAAGUGAGAGAAGAGCGAGAAAAGCUCGAAAACGAAAUCGAAAACCCUAAAUUGAUGGAUAGAGAAAGCUCUCGACUAGAGAAUUUCAAAGGAAAGUCAAAGAAAAUCAAACGGAUUAAAAUCAAUUUUGACUUGUUCAAAGGAGGGAGAGAGAUGGAGAAGCAAAGGUCACUAGUUUUAUUGGUUAAAUCGAAUUCAACAGAAUCAUAUUUUUAUUGGUCACUUGAUUUUAAAAAUCUUUUCUCAUAAUUAUGCGUAUUCGUUUAAUUAUUUCAAAAUGCUAAUUGAAAUCAACCAAAGAUCUAUAUAUACAUUUUUGGAUGACUUUUAGCAAAUAAAUCCUGGAUUUGGAAUGUAUUUACGGAUGAAUGCCAUUGGCAUUAAUUAUUUAAAUUUGAAAAAUAUUAAUUAAAGAUAUUACCAACACGAUUUCGAGAAUCAUAAAUUCAUAUCUUCCUUAAUUUUCUGAGUCAUUAAUGUGAUAAUCUUUAGGAAAUAUUUCUCUGUAAAAAAAAAAUCCACAUUAAUGAAGGCAUUAAAAUCGACACUAACAAUUAAAUUAUUUAGAUAUUCAAUUAUUUUAAGAUUCUUAUAUCUUAUUUAAUAUAUUUUUUUAAUAUCUCAUUCUUUAAUUACUGCGUUUAGAAUUUAUUGGUUGUUACAUAUUUUUUGGUGAAAUUUAUUGGUUGUUACUUAAUAAGUAAUUAUGGUGCGUUUAUUUUAGUUAAUAUCUAAUUUAAAGGAUUUGUUUUCUUUUAUUAUUAAUAAACGAAUAACAUGUAUAGAAAUAAAAGAUUUUUCUUGCGACUCCAUAAUAAAAAUAUUAAACUCUUAUUUUCUACAUUUCUUACACAUAAUAUCCUCUUAUUCAAUAACAAAAAAUAUAUAUUGCAUAUUUUUAAAAAUAUUUAUAAUAUUUAAAUUAUAUAAAAAGUGUGUAAUAUUAAUAUUAUUUCAACUCUAUACAAAUUUAAUAUAUAUGUAUAUAUAUCUUAUGGGAACCAUUUAAAAGAAAUUUUUAAAUUGACUUGAAUUAUAUAGCUUUUAAAUAAAAGUAUUAUUAAAAAGAAAAAUAACUAAAUGAUGUUUAAUUUCACGGGACGGGUAAUAUGAUGGGACGGGUUUGGGUUGAUAUUUAUAAAAGAUAGUAUACCACGGGUAAAAUCCUAAAAUUAACAAUCAAAAUAAUCUAUCAAACAAAUUACAUUUUGAUUUUUUUAAGAAAAUAUAGCCCCGCGGUGUACUGCGGGUUAAAAUCUAGUAUGUUUAAAAUGCUAAUUGAACUCAACUAGAUUAUGUACCCGCGCAUUGCGCCGGAUUUUAAUUUAAAACUUUUAUCAAUACGAAUUUUUGAGUAUAAAUAUAACCAUUUGAAUUUUAAAAGAUUUUAGUUUAUUCAUGUUUAUUAUCUUCUAUGAUUUACUCGUCGUCUCUUAAAAUGUACUAUCUAUUCACCUUAUAUUGGCUCACAUAUAAUAUAUUCGACUAUGAAUUAGUCUUUAAGAUAGAUCGUAUCUAUUUCAUCUUUUUUUUUAUAAGUUGUAUGAUCUUUUUAUUAAAGUGAACAACUUAUAAGAUUUUUAUUCAUAAGGUUUUAUUCGGGGAGAUUCUAUUCAUAAGGUUUUUUUACCAUAUUUUGGAUUAUCUAAAAUUGCUUUAUAGACAACAAAUCUCAUAUAUAUAGACUCAUUCCUAUUUAUAAACAUUGGAUUCAAACGUCUAAUUUUACACUUUAUCUUGACGAUUUGAAAAAUACAAAAAUCUCUUUUCAUAUAUAAAAUUUACCGUAUAUUAUGAUUCUGUAUAGUAUUCUUAGUGUUUAUUUUUCUCAAUGUGUAACAUAUGAACUCAUAAAAAUUAUUUUAAUAUAAAACUAUGUUUUUUUUUUUUAAAUAUCCAUGUUGUUUCUAAUUAAAAAUCUUUCAUUUCCAGUUUCCAAUUAAAACAUAUUCUAAUUUCCAAAUAGCAUUCUCAAAUAUUAUUAUUACACAGUUUUACUUUUCAAUUAGAUUAUUUUAUUUUUAUUGGUGAUGUUUAGGAUAGUUUUUUUCUUUGUAUUUCAAAUCACAUUAUUUUUUUCAAUAUAUAUUAAUUUUCUAAACACUGAUUAAUAUUAAUUUUUUUCUUUAGGUAUUCAUUUGUUUUUUUCAAAACACUUUAAUUUAGAAAACAUCAAUAAAAUAGAAAUUUUUAUUAAUAUACAUAUUUAUAUUAUAUUAGAGUUAUAAAUAAUAAUAUGUACUUAUUCCUUCUUAAUAUUUAAUCGGUAUCAUGAGUUGAUACUUAACAUUAACAAAUAUAUUCUCAAAUUUUAAAUUUGUAUUUUUUCAGAAAUGAUGUACUUUUUAUUUUAAGUAAAAACCUUUAAAUUUGUUUUUUCAGCUCUUCUUUUCUUUAUUCUACUAAAUAAUUGUAACUCUUAAAAAUGAUUGUUGUACCAUUAAAAUAUAUGAUAAGUUUCUUUUUUCCUAUCUCUAACCAAUUAAAAAUAUUUACUCAUUAUAUGUUAAGAUAUAAUUAUCUAAUUUUAUAUUUAUUUCUCUAUAUAAAAUUUUCAUAUUUUGUAUUGUAUAUUUUUCCACUUUGUUAUAAUAUUAAAUUGUUUUUUUUUGUAAAUUACUGUUUUUAUUUAGUAAAAAUUAAAAAUAGAAAGAGUGUGAAUUAAUUUUAGUUUUAAUGUUUUUUUUUCAAAAUAAGAUAUGUAGAGCCCAAAAUGUAAAAUAUGAUUACAUGGAUGCCAAUGUUUCUUAUUUUUCUUUAUUCUAGUAAAUAAUUGUAACUCUUAAAAAUGAUUAUAUGUUAAGUUUUUUUUUUUCAUAUCUCUAGUCAUUUACGAAUAUUUACUCAUUAAAUGUAAUAUAUAAUUAUCUAAUUUUAUAUUUAUCCAAUCUAUAUUCAAAAAUUUCAUAUUUUGUGUUAUAAAUUUAUUUUUUCUUUUUAAUAUUUAAUUUAUUCUUUUGUAAAUUAUUAUUUUUGUUUAAUGAAAAAUAAUAAUAGAAAUUAUAAAAUAUGUGAAUUAAUUAUAGUUUUAAUGUUUUUUGUUUUAAUAAAUAAAAUAUGUGGAGCCCAUACAAAAUUAAAAUAAGAUGACUUGGAUGAUGAUGUGGACACCCCAGAUGGAGAGACAACUCUCUCAUUAUAUAUAUAGAUUAAAUAUAUGUUUAUUGAAUCUAAGAGAGAGUUAUAGACUAUGCAUGAUGAAAUUGAUGGUCUUAUUCGAAGAAGCUAACUCUUGCGAUCGCAUCCGCAUAUUUGUUUCCUUCUCUUCCUCUAAACUUACAAGAUGGGUUUAACUGUUUUUUUUUGUCCAAACAUUGAAUCCGUGAACUUCUUCUUUAGACUCAGCCAAAACAUCGGCUCCUUUCGUCAUCAUCAAAAUAUUUCACUUUCAAACUUCACCUCUUGUAAUCCAAAAUUGUCCAAACAGUUCAUACCUCAGACCACCACCCAUAACUUCAGCUUCAAUACUAGAGAUAUACUAUGGAUAAGUUUUCGCUCCUAACAAUUUGACAUCUCCUUUAUCAUCUCUGAGAAUCCACCUACACUACAAUGAUCUAAACCCUUUUUCCAACAAGCAUUUGUUGGAUUUGUAAUCAUCAAUGUUCUUUCAAUUCAUUAUGAUACGGAUAUAUUAUACGAGUGUGAGAUUUCUCUAUAAGAAAUUGAGAUGUAUAUAAAGAAUGUAAAUAAUACAUAUUUCCUAUUCCAUCACUCCACUACAGCGUCUUAAGGGGGGAUGAUGAGGUCGGAGCGGAAGUUGGUGAAGAGUUUGGUGCAUAUAAAUUGUCAAGAUUGUCAUGGAAGAAGGCCUUUUGACAUCAAGUUAAUGAAUUGGCCAUCAGCAAGACAGAAAAAACGUUGAGAACAAGCGUAAUGUUUACGUGUUUGACGACAGGGUUGAACGUCUUAUCACAAUCAAUCCCAAUUUCUUGAGAUUUGCCAUUACCCACAAAUCGAGUUUGGUAGUGGUACAACUUAUCAUCCGAACCAAACGUGUGCAUGAAUAACCAUAAAGAACGCACAAUGUUAAUAGAUUUGGGUCGUGGUACCAAAAUCCACGGUCUAUUUUUAAUUAGAGCAUUAUAUUCAUCAUAUAUGGUUAAGAUGAGAUUUUGGGAGAAGUGGGAUGAUUUAUGUGUGAAGAGAUAUCAAUUUUUUUUGUUUGGUGAUCUUAUGUUCGCUGCGAGUCAUCAUGGGAUGAUGAGCUGCAACUUGAUGUGGUGGAACGGUCGCUGGUGGAAUCAAGAUAUGGACUGGUUGAGGUGGUGGAACUUGUGGCUGUUCCAUCUCAUCGGGAAUAAGUGGCAGAAUAAGAAUUUGUUGAAGAAGUGGUGAUAAAGCAGGAGGUGGAGUUGGGGUAGAAUAAGAAAUAAGAGAUGGAGACCCUUGCAAAGUAGUAGAGAAAGGGACUUGAGUUUCAUCAAAAAUAACAUGGCGAUUUAUUAUUACCUUUCUUGUAGUAAUGUCGAGAAAGCGGUAUCCUUUCUGAUUGGUAGGAUAGUCGAGAAAAACACAUGAUGUGGAAAGACACCCAAAUACAUGAAGAUAAGUGUAAUUAGGUGAUUUGUGAAAGAGGUUGGUAUAGGGAAUGUCUUGAUUAAUGAAUGAAGAUAGGAGAAUGUUGAACAUAUGUGUAACCCUUUCUUUCUUUUCCUUCACUAGAAACCCUAACCCUUGAAACCCUAGCGCCCUCUCAGCCUUCUUCGUCUAUAAUUUUAUAUGAAAUGAGAAUUGAAAGUUGCAAUUAUCCUUGGAUUGGUUUGAGUGCGAAUCAAAGACAACGCCGUCAGGGUGCUUAUGAUACGAUGCGGAGGAGACGAAGUAAGGUCAGAAGCUGCAGCAAUGGUUGCUUCUGGUGCAAUCUGUUGAAGCUCGUUAAUGGCGGUUAACAAAAAACCGUGGGCCUCCUUCGAAAUUUUUUUCACAACUUUAGGGAAUUCGAACUCGGGUUAAAAAGUUAUAGAAUCCCAAAUGUUACCGCUAGACCAUGAUAAUAUACUCUUAAGUUUUAGUUAAGAGAUUGUAUGCAGGGCCGGCCCAAACAAUUUUAGUGCCUAAAGCAUAAAAAAAAUUUGGUCCACUAAGAAAAACUGUUGAAAAAAAUAAAGGGCCAAUUUGUGCAGAGACAAAAAUGAGAUAGAAAAUUAGGUAAUCAACAUUAUGGGAUUGUGGUCUUCAACAGAGAUAAUAUUUACGAGAAAACCACCUUUUUUUAUAAUGAUGCGCGUGGAAGCAACAGUUUUGACUUUUUUGGGAAACAAAAAAGCAACUGACAGUUAAUAAAUGUUCAUCAGUGGAAUAAUAAAUAAGAUAUUUGAUUUAUUGCAAAAACGUAGAGAACGAAAAUGUAUGUAGAGUGUUAUUAGUAUGUAUAUACAUGUAAACACGUAUAUAGAACGUUAUUAACAUUUAUAUACAUGUAACCAUGUAUAUAAAAAGUUAUUAAUAUUUUUACAUUUGUAAAUAUUUAAAUAUAGAUCUACAAACAAAUUUGGACAUCCACGCAAAAAACAUUUGGGCAUCCACACAGAUCUAUAACGCAAAAAUCCAGAUUUAACUGAACUUUUGGAGAGAUAUCAAAGAAUAUAGAUAAAUAAAAAAUAUCCGGAUUCUCCGGCGCGACAGAAUGAAUAGUAUAUACAGCGAAUUCUCCGACGCAUCGGAGUAAAUAGUAUACACGACACAGCAAAGUGACUAAUAUACACAACGAACCAGUUAAAUCAGAAUAGAACAAAACUGAACAAUAGUGUUAGAGGAAGAUGACGAGACUUGAGAAAAUGAUGAACAUGUGAAGCAAAUGAACAUCCAAGAGAUAAUUUGACGUGUUUGUCUACUUUAUUACGAUGGAAACGCGUGAGGUUAGUUUAGGCAAAAAAAUUAGGCUAAAUAUUACAUUGUUUUAGACUCCCAAAAAACUAAUUUUGCCCAGAUCCAUAGUCUCUCACCCAAUUAUCUCAAAAAUAAAUACAAGUAAUGGUAAAGAUAGGAAUUGAACUUGUCACUUAAAAGAGAGUAUAAUAGUAAACUCAACUGCUACACCACUUUAACGUUUUAAGAAAUGAUGCCCCUAAAAAGUUAAUAAAGUUUUGAUGCCUAAAGCCCUUGCUUCACGGGCUUUAGCCCCGAGCCGGGCAUGAUUGUACGUACAGAUUAAAAUAUGAGGAUUUAAAAUUUAACACCGUUAAAUAAUUCUGUCACAGCUGUUAACGGCUGUUAACUUCUGGGUUUGAUUCGAGCAAUAAUUUUUAUACAGAGAUAUUUUAAGACCACAAAUAAUUAGAGAAGGUAUUUUAUUCUAACUAAAAAGUAUUAAGUAUUAAACGUUCAAAUAAAAACUAUACAUGGAUUUCUUUUAAAAAAUUUCCCGAAAUUAUUGAGAUGUAUAUAAAAAUUGGAAAUAAUACAUAUUUUCCAAAUCUAUCAGCAUCGACAUUACACUUUAAUUUAUCUGGUUGGGCUGCCAUAUGAUACGAAUUGGUAACUGAACCAGGACAAUCUUGUUUCCUUCAACAUAGCCUCCUGCCACUCCUUUGCUUCACUAAUCACCCUUACAUUACUUUAUACGCCUCUUCACAAUGAUAAUUGCCCUUGAUAUUAGUUUAUGUGCCUCCUCAUCCUCAUGGAGUCAUGGUGAUUACUUGAUUAGUGAAACAUAACUCAUUCAUUGCCUUUCAUAUUCUCCUCAUAAUCCAGUUCGGUCAUGGUUUUAAAAUACUAAAAAAGUGGUCCAUUUUUCGAAUUUUCUCCAAAUUGUCAUAAACUCUCCAUUCGGUUUAUGAUAAAAUUCAAUUUCGGUUUAGAUUUGAAUAAAUUCCCGGUUCGAUUUAGUUAGUAUAGCCAGAAUUUCAGAAACGCCUCCUUCCUUCCUUCCCUCGCCUCCGUCUCUCCAAUGCUCUCCCGUGUCUACCCAAUCCUCCGCCAUAACCGUCUCUUCUCUGCAGAAGCGCGUGAAAUGCCACGCGCCACUCUCCUUCUCCUCCAACCCAACUUCCUACGCUUUUCCCCGAGAACUCCUCCUCUGAAUCGUCUCGAUGUUUCUUCGUCCGAGUUUUCUUCCAUGUUCCGUCGGAGAUUCCACGCUUUACGCAGCACCGUAGGAGACUGGACGAAGCUUCCGAAACCUCCGGGUCGGGUUUUCGCGGAGAGGAGAGAAUAUAGGAAGAUUAGGAGAAGAACUCCGAAGAAGAAACAGGAAUUGGAGCUUAGUGUUAGUAUCUGCAUCGAAGAACAGCUUCCUGAUGAUCUUGAGAUUCAGGUUUGUUCUUUGAUAAUUCAAUUUAGCCAUUCUAGUUGUGUUGAUUCUUAUCAAAUUUCAAACAAUGUAGAAUAUUGCGGAAAUGCUUCGUCUCAAUGUGCCUAUGGCAAUGACAUUGGCUUUCAAUGGUUUGAAAGAUUCCAAGUAUAAAACAAGAGAGACUGAUAUAGAAGAUCUUGGUGGGUACGAAACUGUCGAAUUAUCGGUCAUGCUUUGUAAUGAUGAUUUCAUUUGUAAACUCAACAAAGAGUGGAGAGGUGAAGAUCAUGCUACAGAUGUGCUCUCCAUGUCACAACAUGUCCCUGAAUUGAAGCUUCCAGUGGUAAAGAUUGUGUUUUUUUGAUUCACUGGUUUUUAAUAGUGUGGUGUGGUUCCAAAUGGUUGGUUACUCAUUAUGGUUAUUCUUCGUGUAGCUUAUGAUGGGAGAUAUUGUCAUUUCUGUUGAGACAGCUGCAAGGCAGGCUGCAGAGAGAGGGCACACUCUUCUUGAUGAGAUACGUAUUCUUGUGGUAAGAUUAAUAGAUGUGGAGUUGGAACCUGUUACUGACUUACUUUUUAACCGAAACGUACAAGUGAAAUGUGGCUCCUUAUAGGUGUAGAUUAGAACUACUAAGAGUAUACUUUGGUUUUAUUUUGCUUAGAAGUAUAGUUCUUGAUCUUUGUUGUUCCAUUAACCAUGUAAGAAGUCAGUAAUGUGUUUCCAUAAUGUUUAGAAGAUAUAAGAAGGGCAGGAGCCAAUUUUGUUUUUUAUUCAGGAAUGGUUUAAUAUGACUUGUGUAAUUUGCUGAUAACUUAAUGGUUUUUUAAGAUUCAUGGGUUGCUACACCUACUGGGUUUUGAUCAUGAGAUCAGCAACGAGGCUGAGAAAGAAAUGGAGGAGGAGGAGGAGUUGUUGCUAAAAAGCCUUGGGUGGAAAGGAAAAGGACUCAUUCAGAGUGCAUAUGACAUUGAAAAAACAGCUAAACCUCAGCUGGAGAAAUCAGAUGGUAUUUUCCUGUGUUUACUUGUCAGCAACUGUGUAACAAUCAUUUACACUCCCCCUAUUAUCUUCUUGUUCUCUCUAAGAUAAACUUAUAGACUACUGUUAAAAGACAGGAAGGAAGGGGAUGGCCUAAGAUUGUACAGACCAAAGUUCUCCUAUAUAUUCUGUGAUAUGGAUGGUAAGGUUACAUAUUUAACAAUGUGUAGUUGUUCGUUUCGGUUUUCUUCCCUUUCUCAUGGGAUUUUGAUGUUAACUCUCCUAGGCACACUGCUUAACAGUAAAAGUCAGAUUUCGGAGGCAAAUGCAAAAGCUUUAAAAGAAGCCAUGUUGAGGGGACUUAAAGUAGUCAUAGCUACGGGGAAGGUGAGAAGACACCAGUUUCAAUGACUUCAUUUUGGACUCUUCUUUGUUUUGUCCAACUAUGUCUUUCCUUAUUUUUGUUAUUUGUUCGUCUUUGAAAAAUGUUUUGGAGAUGGUAUCUAUUCUUAACUCUAUUUAUUUCACAGUCUCGCCCAGGCGCGAUCAGAAUCUUGAAGACGGCUGAUCUAACUGGAUCCGAUGGCAUUGUCUCAGAGUCCUCUCCAGGCGUUUUUGUUCAGGUCUCCUACUUUCUCUAACGUAAGGGAAUUAGUGAGGUGCACCAAUAUCAAUGUAAUCUCACUAAAUAUCUGUUUAAUUACAGGGCUUACUUGUCUAUGGUAGACAGGGGAAAGAAGUGUAUAGAGGAUAUUUGGACCGAGAGGUCUGCAGAGAGGUAAAUCCACUUAGUAUUUAGACUAAAACAACCAGCACAGACUUAAUUCUCAUACCCUCGGCUUAGUUCACAACAUGCAUUAGAAUUCUGGAACCCAACCCCCUUUGCAUCAUAGUUCUCUACCAUGGGAAGCAGAAAAAACCCUACUUAACUACAGACAGUCUUCAGUCUAUUAUCCGUGUGUAUCUUGAUUGAAUAACUAAGUUCUAGAAUUUCUGUUUCAUACGUACCAAAAUGUUGGUUUUUGUAAUAUGCAGACGUGUCUUUAUUCUUUGGAGCAUCGAAUUCCUCUCAUUGCAUUCAGCCAGGAUCGCUGCUUGACAUUGUUUGACCACCCUCUUGUUGACUCUCUUCACACAAUCUACAAUGAGCCAAAGGUAGGUUAAUGAAACUGUUACGCUCUCUCUCUGUCUAGUUAUGAUUUUUUUAACAGCUUCUUGCAUAAUCUCUACAUGUUUUGUAUCAACAGGCCGAAAUCAUAUCAUCGGUUGAUCAACUUAUAGCUGAAGCUGACAUUCAGGUGAUUCCCGGAGUCAGAACUUUUAUUUUACUUUAUUACAUCUGUAUAAGUCAAAGUACUGAUGUCUGGUUCUCUUGUAUAUCCGAAGAAAGUGAUAUUUAUGGACACAACCGAGGGGGUCUCAUCUGUUAUCCGUCCGUAUUGGUCAGAAGCUACAGGCGAUCGUGCUAAUGUCGUUCAAGCUCAAUCAGACAUGCUAGAAAUCGUCCCGCCAGGAACCUCCAAAGGGAACGGUGUAAAAAUGCUACUCAAUCAUUUGGGCGUUUCACCGGAUGAGGUAAUAAUCUAGCAUCUUUUUACGGCAUUUUAAAGAAGCUCAAGAAGGCGUAAGUAUAGAAGUCAAACAAAAAAGUUGAAUUUCCACCCCUGAACCCAAGUUUCCAAGACUUGAUUUCUUUGUUCAAAACUAAGAUAAUUGAUGAAGCUAACCGGAUUCUUUUGAUCAGAUAAUGGCAAUUGGAGAUGGAGAAAACGACAUAGAGAUGCUGAAACUGGCCUCGUUGGGAGUUGCUCUGAGCAACGGUGCAGAAAAGACAAAGGCAGUGGCUGAUGUGAUCGGUGUGAGCAACGACCAAGAUGGUGUUGCUGAUGCCAUCUACCGCUACGCUUUCUGAGACUCCACCAUAUUUAAGUACAAGAUACACCAAAUUAAAUUUUUGAGGUUAAGUAGGCAUUAUUCUUCUUCUUUGUCUUACAGAUUAAAAAAAAACAUUAUUCAUUCUUGUCUCAGUCACCCACCUUUUAAAGGAAAAUGAUUGAUUGCAUGAGUGUGUCACUUGUUGUGUUCAAGUUCGUUAAAUCUUUCAUUCGUUUGCCAGAUGCUUGUAGAUUUGUCGUUUGCCUUGAUAACAAAAAAACAAGUUCAAAUCAUAUGAUCAAAUCCAGUGGAUUUGUCAUCAGUUAACAUUAAUCUUACAAUGUGCAACUAAUCAAUUGGUGAAUAAGUUCUAAAACUAAGAUUAGUGCCACGACCGAUGCACAAAAGCUGGUUGAAGUUUGAAACCAUUCAUUUAUUUAAAAGUGAUGUAGAUUCGAAUCGAAGCUAAUUGGUGUGAAGUUACACGAAUCUUGUUGCUAUAAAGUUUGUAGGCAGAUAUAGUACAAAUACUUUUGCAACACAGCUAGAUUAUAUAUAUAGACUAUGAAUUGGUCAGAUUUCUUUUAGUAAGAAUGCAGUCUUUUUGUUUAUCAAAAAAAAAAGAAUGCAGUCUUUUUCUCCUCUGCAAGGAAGCAUGGAGCUUCAACCUCUGUAGAGGCCUGAUGGGUCUGCGUUUUGCACAAUCCAUGGGUGUUCAAGAAGCUUGUGCAAGGGCAAACGUCGUGUAGACUCCUUAACCAGCAUCUGUUGGAUCAGAAAGUGUGACAUAUCAGAAUUCACUCUUCAAAUGCACUAAAGCUUAUGAGGGAUUUACGAGGAAUGCGAGUAGAAACCUGGCUAAUCAGGUCCUUUGCAUAUGAAGAGACAAUGGGUUUGGGAGGGAACUUGAGAUCCACUUGAACAAUCCUGUAGUAGCGCAUUUGUACAACAAAAACUGUUCUUUAAUAUACAUAACCACACCAUUAUACUAAUCCCAUUCUAAGCUUAGUGAACAGGUUACCUUUUGUAUGUCUCUGAAUGUUCCCUGGCCUCAAAAGGAGGGACACCAUAAAGAAAUUCGUAGCAGAGAAUUCCUAGACUCCAUAUAUCGACACUUGCAUCGUGUUCUACGCUUUCCACUGCAAAUCCAAAAGUAGAAGAAAAGUCAAUUAGCUGGUUGCAGAUGAGACUAGAUAAGAAACACUCUGGAAACCUUUCACUUACCCAUCUCAGGCGGAAGGUAAUCCAAAGUGCCACACAUAGUCCUUCUGCGGUUGAAUGUGUGUACUGACCAUCCAAAGUCUGCAAUCUUGAGCUCACCCUAACAGAAAAUAUCCAUGAAUACAGAAAUAUAUAUAAUAAGCAAAGAUCAAUCACAUGGCAUUGAUGGAGAAAGAUAACCAGAUUGAAUUUGCUACCUGAGCACCAAUCAAUAGAUUUUCAGGCUUUAUAUCUCUGUGAAUUACAUGCUUUCCAUGGCAAUAGAUGAGGGCUCUUGCCAAUGACGCAACAUACUGCCACAUAAUCAUAAGGGUAUGAGCUCGUACUAGUAUACAAGAAGUGUGACUACACAGAUUCAGAUUCAGAUGCUAGACUAAGAUCAAUAUCACUAGAACUUACAGUUGCUGCUCGACGUUCGCUGAAGUACUUGCACUUCUGAAGCUCUUUAUAAAGCUCACCUCUAGCUGCAUACUCUAAAAUCAAAUAAACUCUUUUCUGCAAACAAAAAUGAUAUCCCAAAAACCGUGUUAUCCUCACAGAGACAAACAUUGUAUGUCAACAAGAAGUUCUUCAAACACACAGAUAACACAACACCUGAUCAUAAAAGUAACCGUAGAGUCGCAGAAUAUUGGGAUGCCGAAGAUGAGAUUGAAUUUCUACUUCCCGCCGAAGCUGGUGUUCAACUUGAGAUUGUUGAAGCUGAGUCUUAAAAAGAACCUUAAGAGCCACAAUGUGAUUGCUCUGUUUGCAAAUAUGCAAAUAUGUCAGCUUGGUUAAAACGACAUCAAAUUACUUCUCCUUGUUUAACACACUAACCCGUUUCUCUCUUGCUAGAUAAACAUGGCCAAACUUCCCUCUACCAAGAGGCUUUCCAAUGUCGAAAUCGCUUGUAGUCCAUCUCUUUUGUGCAGCCUCUGAAACCGCCUGAUACAACAAUAUCACAAAGAUAGAAAUCCAAUUACCUCCCAGAAACACUUAAAUCAAAACGAAUAAUAAGCAUAAGAAACCAAUCUGUCUUGAAUCACAUCUCUAAAUUCUAACAAGUUUUCACAUCCCAAUUCGUCUGUUAUCUAAAACCGAACUAUACAAAUUAUACUUGCCAGAAACCAACUAUGAACAGGAAUCAAAAGAUAAAAUCAUAGAUCCCAAAACCCUAAUCCUCGGAUUUGUCAAUUAAUCUACAACCAUAUUACGAAAUUGCUCGAAAUCUUAGCAACAAUUUUUCCUCAAAGGAGAUGAAAUUCAAACAAAACGAGAUUCUUCUGGCUCAAAGAAAAUCGAGAAUCCCAGAUCAUCAAAUCCAUUAAAAAAGACCAACGCACAGAAAAUACAAACGAACAAGGAAGUAACACGAGAUAUAUAUAAAGAUCAAAACCCUAAAUUCGGUCAAAGAAAGAGGAAAUUCGUGAACCAAGAAAAUUAGUCAUUUCUUCUUACGUUUUGCUGCGUCUCUGUAGAAAUCCCCAUGGAAGAGAAGAGAUCGAUGAUGAGCCAAGAUAAGCGACAAAAAGAGAAAGAGACGACGAGUGUAAUUUUUACAAAGCAAAAACAGAUCCAAAUUGACAAAUUUUUAAAAGGGAAAAAAACGUAAACCACCAGCAAAGCAGCAACGGUCGAAUCCAGAUGCUGCCAUGUGUCGAUAUAUCUGCGUCCAAGUUUUUAUUUUCAAAUAUUGUCUCCCGAGAAAGACAAUAUAUUUUGUUAUAUUACGUUCUUGUAAAAUUAAAUUAUAAAUUAUUAUUUUUAAUUGUUUAUCAAAAAUAAAUAAAUAAUAUUUUUUUAUAGGAAAGACAUUAUUUUUUGGAUCAAUAUUAGAUUAAAAUAUAAUCAAAAUCGAUUAAAUUUGGUUAAAUUUUGGGUAAGUCAAACCGGAUAAAAUAUUAUUGGUUUAUUGAUCGGUUCAAUUGGAGGCGUAGUUUUAAAAAUAAAUCCGAAAGUAUGUGUAAUUUUAUUGAGAUUAAAGUUUGUUUUGGCGGUUUUUUCAUGAGGCAAAAAAUUUGGAGCGAAAAACUGAAAUUGCUAUUAGUAUAAAGCUGAAAAAUCAGUCAACCCUUCUUUAAUUGGUUUUGGGUGUCUAUAUAUAUGGUAAAGAUAUGCCGAGAACCAUUCAUCAUCUUCCUUCAAAACUUCUCUCAUCAGAUCUCUCUCAAGAGAUCUCAAUCCUUGGAGAAUCAGAGAACAACACUUUAUAUAUAUAGUAGACGUAGUUUUGAGACAUAAAAUUUUCAUCACAAAUUUGUAACAUUGUAGAUAAGAUAUUAUAACUAAUUUUAGUUGUCACAACUUCAUAGUAUUCCGUCAUAAUAUAGUGACGAAAAAAAUCUUAACCAAGAUUUGUUAUAUUUAAUGACGAACAAGCGAUGAUAAUACUAUUGUGACAACGUUGUGACCAAUAUGUUGUUGCAAAUUAAUUAGUUACGAACUUAUAACGGAUAUGCAAGUCGUCCUUUGUGACAUUAGAAUGAGUAAACAUUAUUCACAAAUUAGUGAUUAACUAACAUUAAUUAGCACAAACCCUAAUCCUAGUUUAAGAAGAACUAUUUAAGAUAUUGAUUAGGGUUUUCCAUUUCAUAAUUUCAUGCCUCCUAGACUUAGAGGAGAGAGAAAAAAAAGAAUGAGCCGCUAGUGAAAUCAAGGACAAUUUUCACACAUAUAUACUAUUUUUGAUUAAAUUUAUUAAAUUUUGUAUAACUAAAUUUCUUUAUAGUAGAAAACUACUCUAAAAUAUUAAUUACGAAAAGUUGGUUUAUUUGGGUCGGUAUGGUUGCAUUAAUUUUGUUUCCGAUUUGGUUUCGGUUUAUACUGUGUUCGAUUUCAGUUGGUUCGUGUGUAUGCCUAGCCUUUCUAUAUUGGCGAUUUGAUCGAGCAAUGGGACAACAUGGUUCGUGUGUAUGCCUAGCCUUUCAAUAUUUAAUUUAGCCGGUUGUUUUGAAGAACUUGUUUGUCUGUAGGUGAUACGAGCCAAAGCCUUCUUCUUUGAACUCGUAAAGACAACAUAUAAUUUAAGCAAAACCUUCCCUUUAACCCAAAUCUCUCUUAGAGAAUUAGGUUAAUUGUUGGAGGUUGGUUUCUUAUUGAUCAUAAGAGACCCUUAUAUAGGCCACGGUACAACCAAUCAUAAACAUAAACUAAAGGUACAACAUAGCUCUGAUACCAAGUUGAUACGAGCCAAAGCUUUCUUCUUCGAACUCGUAAAGACAAGAGAUAAUUUAAGCAAAACCUUCCAUUUAACCCAAGUCUCUCUUAAAGAAUUAGGUUAAUUGUUGGAGGUUCAUUUCUCAUUAGCAUAACGACCUAUAUUUAUAUUGGCCAUGAUACAACUUAGAUUCUAACCUAAACGUAAAAAAAGAAAACACUUAAGCAUAGAAAGGAAAUUAUGAAAACCAAACUCAUAAGGUAAACCACCAAAACUAAUUAAUUAAAACGUACUAACCGGUGGCCUAAUCAACCUAACCGUAGUCUCGUAUCAGUAGGCUUCACUUUUGGGCAUGCAAUCACUAUCGGCUUGAAAUGAUAUUGGUUCGGAAUUAUCUCGACUUUUGAAUUGGAUUCCUCAACCAACAUCCUUGCUUAGAUUGUGAUGUUGUCCUGCUUUCUUUUCAAUCGUCAAGUUUGAAAUCGAGUGAGAAUAUGAUGUGCCGUUUUCUAAGUUUGGUUUCUCCGACAGUGAUGAUAAAGACUUUUGUCUCUGGCUUCUGCUCGCAUCUUCUUCUCUAGAACCUCUCCAUCUUUUGUUAUUCCCUUCUUUAAGCUCUCAGUAUCGCAUCGCCGGAAAUUCUCAGUGAUGGCCAGUGGAAGCGACGAGUUGGUGAAAGGAAAUGUUUAUCCAAAUGGCGUUGCUUUCCUCACUCUUGUUUGACCUAAAGCUCUCAACGCCAUGAAUCUAGGUUCGUUUUUCACUUUUUCUUUAAUGAAUUAAACCCAAGUAAGUUCAAUCAUUGAAUAAACUAAUUUUAGAGAAAUGGAUCUGAAGAAAACUCCUCUGAUGCAAGAAAAUGAAACUUCUGUUUUAGUAUGGCUUCACAUGGUCAGAUAUGAAGCAGGUGAUGUGAAACAGAUUACAACCGAAAAUCAAUUGUCAGAUAUGAUAGAGGUCUGGUUGGCUCUUUUUUCCAUAAGUCAGGAUAUGAGACUUAUUGAAACAGAAGCAUAAAAAGACUAGACAUGCAACAGUAUUCAUCACUUCAGUGUUUUAGAAAAGCAAUACUUGCUAACGUCAUAACGUUGCUUUCUUUUGGGUAUUUACAGCUGAGUAUGGCCUGAUAUGCAAGAUUGCUGGAUACAAAAAAACCAUAUGUCUCUUUAAUGGAUGGCAUAACAAUGGGAUUGGUCUUUCUGGACAUAGGCGCUACCGAGUGAUAACAGAGGUGCUCAUAGUAAAUCCCUUGUUCUGUACUUUGUGCAGAUAACAUUUAGCAUGCAUUUCUUACCUUUGUCAUUGUUUUGUUAUCCAUUUUCAGAGGAUGGUCCUCGCAAUGCCAGAAAAUGGAAUUGGGUUGUUUCCAGAUGUUGGGUUUUCAUAUAUAGCAGCUCAUAGCCCUGGCAGAGGAUAUGUUGGUAUGUUCAUAUCCUAGAUUCCUAAUAGUAUCCUUAACUUUCCAUUUGGAUAUUCUAAAGAAUAAGAGUAAUUGGCCUAGGCCAGUUUUUUCUUCUCUAAGCAAACUUUACCAAACUUAUGAAAAACCAAUUUUCGCUAUAGUACCUCCCAAGUUUUGCUUAUAGUUAGAUUUGUUGUACAAGGAAGUAUGUUCUAUAUUGCUAACUGCUGAGACCCUAUACAAUUUGCAUAACAACCGCUGUAGUAUCAUUCUCCACCAGCAACUUUUCAACUUUCAAAUUCUGCAGGUGCUUACCUUGGUAUGACUGGGAGAAGGAUUUCCACACCUUCAGAUGCACUGUUUGUGGGUCUUGGGACACAUUAAAGACCUGUAGGCAUCUGCUUUUGCCUUAGAUAAAAUCAGCUUUUACUGCAAGUAAGUCUGUUCAAGAAACAAUCGAAGAGCUGAAGAAGUACCAGCUGAGCACUGAAGAUUCAGGUAUAAAUAUAUACAUUACUCUUUUAAGGUGGCUACUUAUAUAAUAACGUGUGUGUAUUUUGGUGAAAUCAAACAUGUUUUGACUUUCUGCAAGAUCUAGCUGACACCUUAAAUGGAUACAUGUUGUCUUAUUUGUUGUUUAAAAUAAUCAAAUUGAAAUCGGUAUCCUGCCUCUGAGAAAUUUGGACACAAUGUUUGUGUACAGUUGCAGAAUGGGCUAAUGAAGCACUCAAAGGCCUUGUAAAAGGAGCACCAUUUUCUCUGCAUCUAACGCAUAACUACUUCUCCAAAGUUGUUUGUGCCAAGGGUAAAACCGACAACGGGAUGGCAAUGGUGAGUCCAAACUCUUUGUUACCAGUUAAGCUACUAGUGAUACUUAAAUUUUCUUUCUACUUGAAGCUUAAUGGUGUGAUGAAAACUGAUAUGUGUCAAAUUACCCUUAGACUAGUCUCUUAAUUAGAGAUGUCACUAUAAUAUUUAUGGGUCAAAUUCCACAAAUCUCUUUAGUUCAUGUAAUAAACUUAUGACUGCUAAACAAGAAAUUUUGAAAAUUAAAGUUUGCAAUCAAGUAAAUCGGUAGUAAAUUCAAUGGAUUAAGGCGCUAGACUUAAAGAAAAUCUUUUCCGUAAAUCCACUCGACCAACAAGCUCGACUAGACGUCUAACAGGCUUAAACCGACUUAGUAUUUUGUCGUUUUGUGUUUUAGGGCUUUCUUGAUUUUCACCGGAGGAUACUCGACCACCACCACGAGAAGCUGAUACUCAACCGACACAACUCGACCUCAAUUCGAAGAGAAAAACUCAACCUCUUCUCAAAGUACUCGACCGACGAACUCGCUCCUCCUCCACCGUCAUACUCGACUAGCCGAAAAAAGAAAAAAACAACUACUCGACCUCAAGAGCAGACCACCACAAACCGGUCACAUACUCGACCAUGUUUUCUGGAUAAGGAGGAGCCACCAUCUCAAAAUUUGUUUACUCGACUUAAACCAAACAAAGACCACUCGACCACCGUCUCUCUAACUCACUCGACCUCAACUUCUACUUGACCAACAUCGGUUCAUUUCAAACAUUUCCGAUUUUGUAUUAUCUCUUGAAACUAACCUGUUAACUUUGAGUUAUACAUAUUCUCAGGAUCAACAUGAGCAACUACACUGGCGGUUCAUCAAUGGAUUCUGACUAUAACGUCGAUGAGGCUGAAUCUUGGUCUUCAAGACCAGAAAGAGAACAACAUAAAUACGAAAGUUUCAGGAGGAGAGCUGAGAUAGCUCGUGGGAAGAGAGCAAUGACAGAAAGAUAUGAGCUGGUAGAUGAGGAUUUAGAGGACGAGUAUAUGCCUGAGCAUUCUCGCAGAGCUACGAAGCUUCUGAACAAACCGAUGAACUACCAGUUGAAGAGUACAUCAGACUCUUCAACCUGAAUGAGUUCUGCGAAACAAGAUAUCCGUGCUCCGAGACACUGGCAAAGCUGGGGUUACUGGAAGAUGUUCAACAUCUGUUCCAGAGUUGUCACCUGGACACUCUGAUGAGUUACCCAUACGUCGCCUACGAGGAAGAAACAAUUAAGCUCUUCUCCACACUGCAAGUGGAGCUCUACCAAGGAAUGACUGCAGACGAGUUGGAAAGAGAAGGGUUGGGGUUCCUUACAUUUUCCGUGUAUGGACAAAGUUACAUGCUCACAAUCUAGCGCUUGGAAGGAUUGUUUGGUUUCCCCAGUGGAUCGGGAACCAAACCAACGUUUGACAGAGGCGAGUUGAAGGAUCUGUGGCUCACCAUUGGAAGCACUACAGCGCUUAACUCUUCAAGAUCCAAGAGCAAUCAGAUACGCAGCCCCAUCAUCAGAUACUUCUAGCGCUCAGUGGCUCAUGUCCUCUACUCCAGAGAGUCAACAGGGACGGUGACCAACUCUGAUAUGGAGAUGAUCUCUAUGGCUCUCAGAGGCACUCUCCAUCAAACCAAGAACGGUAUGACUCUGCACGGUGAUACCAGUGACACACCUCUCGCUAUACUUCUUUUGAUCCACCUGUGUGGAUACAAGAAGUGGGCUAUCACUAAUAACAACAAAAGAGCACGAGGCGCUCUCUGGAUAGGAGGUGUUGUGACACCGAUUCUGAUUGCCUGCGGAGUCCCAAUCACAUCUAAGGGAUAUGAACCAAGAGCAAUGGAUUUUGAGUACCUACGUCACUGCGAAUUCCUCGAGUAUGCAAUGGUUGGUGACAAGUAUCGAUACCGGUUUGAGCAUCCCACAGACAAGACGGCCAACAUCCUUCUCCCCUGCCCCGAGCUUACACGUAUCAUAGAGGGAGACAACAUUGACUUUGUGCCUGCAAUCGACAACCUGUAUGUCGAGAAAGCUCACCCGAUGAAUGAGGAUGUUCAUGCAGAAGAAGCUGCAGAAGAUGAGAUUGAUGAGAUGGAUGAGGACAAGGAAGAGGAGUAUGAUACAAGUAUGUAUCAUUUUAGUGAGCAUGUAGCUCCAGCGAGGGAGAGUAAGAGUUUGAGUGAAGCUUACAGAAACCCAAGCCUGUUGUAGAAGUGGUGCAAGAAGCAGGAUAAGUUCAUCUCGAAAUGCAUAACGAGUAUCAAGUCUUUGAAGGCUAUGGUUAGCUGCUCCUCUUCCAGCACAGCAAUACCGCAUGGAGACGAACUUACCCUGCUUCUAGCUAGAAAAAGGAGGUUCUGCAAGAUGAGGAGAAGCUAACCAUUGCCUUCAACGAAUUUAUACUAUUUAUCCAUUUGGAGAUGAACUUAUCCUGCUUCUUGCACCACUUCUGCAACAGGCUUUGGUUUCUGUGAGCUUUACUCAAGCUCUUACUCUCCCUCGCUGGAGCUACAUGCUCACUAAAAUGAUACAUACUUGUAUCAUACUCCUCUUCCUUGUCUUCAUCAAUCUCAUCAAUCUCAUCUUCUGCAGCUUCUUCUGCAUGAACAUCCUCAUUCAUUGGCUGAGCUUUCUUGACAUACAGGUCGUCGAUUGCAGACACAAAGUCGAUGUUGUCUCCCUCUAUGAUACGUGUAAGCUCGGGGCAGGGGAGAAGGAUGUUGGCCGUCUUGUCUGUGGGAUGCUCAAACCGGUAUCGAUACUUGUCACCAACCAUUGCAUACUCGAGGAAUUCGCAGUGUCGUAGGUGCUCAAAAUCCAUCGCUCUUGGUUUAUAUCCCUUAGAUGUGAUUGGGACUCCGCAGGUAAUCAGAAUCGGUGUCAUAACACCUACUAUGCAGAGAGCGCCUCGUGCUAUUUUGUUAUUAUUAGUGAUGGCCCACUUCUUGUAUCCACACAUGUGGAUCAAAAGAAGUAUAACGAGAGGUGUGUCACUGGUAUCACCGUGCAGAGUCAUACCGUUCUUGGUUUGAUGGAGAGUGCCUCUGAGAGCCAUAGAGAUCAUCUCCAUAUCAGAGUUGGUCACCGUCCAUGUUGACUCUCUUGAGUAGAGGACAUGAACCACUGAGCCCUGGAAAUAUCUGAUGACGGGGCUGUGUAUCUGGUUGCUCUUGGAUCUUGAAGAGUUAAGCGCUGCAGUGCUUCCAAUGGUGAGCCACAGAUCCUUCAACUCGCAUCUGUCAAACUUUGGUUUGGUUCCCGUUCCACUAGGGAAACCAAACAAUCCUUCCAAGCGCUGGAUUGUCAGCAUGUAACUAUGUCCAUACACGAAGAAUGUAAGGAACCCCAACCCUUCUCUUUCCAACUCGUCUAUAGUCAUCCCUUGGUCGAGCUCCACUUGCAGUGUGGAGAGGAGCUUAAUUGUUUCUUCCUCGUAGGUGACGUAUGGGUAACUCAUCAGAGUGUUCAGGUGACAACUCUGGAACAAAUGUUGAACAUCUUCUAGUAACCCCAGCUUUGCCAGUGUCUCGGAGCACGGAUAUCUUGUUCCGCAGAACUCAUUCAGGUUGAAGAGUCUGAUGUACUCUUCAACUGGUAGUUCAUCGGUUUGUUCAGAAGCUUCGUAGCUCUGCGAGAAUGCUCAGGCAUAUACUCGUCCUCUAAAUCCUCAUCUACCAGCUCAUAUCUUUCUGUCAUUGCUCUCUUCCCACGAGCUAUCUCAGCUCUCCUCCUGAAACUUUCGUAUUUAUGUUGUUCUCUUUCUGGUCUUGAAGACCAAGAUUCAGCCUCAUCGACGUUAUAGUCAGAAUCCAUUGAUGAACCGCCAGUGUAGUUGCUCAUGUUG